RNAcentral lists this long non-coding RNA (59636 nucleotides) under Arachis ipaensis. Its description in RNAcentral is "long non-coding RNA (AIPA_LNC002050)". The stretch from base 45682 to 45890 matches the Rfam family "Plant small nucleolar RNA U3". Lineage: Eukaryota; Viridiplantae; Streptophyta; Magnoliopsida; Fabales; Fabaceae. The record is from RNAcentral.
UUUUGUUUGGUUUAAUGUGCACAGGAAUUUCAGAUGUUGGAAUGAAAGCCAUUGGCGAAGGUCUUUCCUUGUUGCAGUCAUUGGAUGUAUCCUACUGCAGAAAGCUGACUGACAAGGGACUAUCUGCUGUCGCUAAAGGCUGUAGCGACUUACGGGUAUUGCAUCUCGCUGGUUGCAGAUUCGUUAUGGAUGGUAUAUUAGAAGCUCUCUCCAAAAACUGUCAUAAUCUGGAAAAACUGGGAUUGCAAAGGUGCACAAAUAUUACCAACUAUGGAUCUUGCAAGUGGUUGUCAACAGAUCAAGUAUUUGGACAUCAACAAGUGGUUGUCAAAAGAGAAGAAGGAGGAGGUCGCCGGCGUUGAUGGUGGCUGACGGAGGCGCGACUGUGCGGUGGUGAUGGAGGCAGGGGCCGAGGAAGAAGAAUAGAAGGGAAAAAUGACGAAGGAAGAAGAAAAGGGUAGAGAAAUUUAAAAGAUUGGGGGAGGUUACAAAAACGGCGUCGUUUUUGUCUCCACGGACUUAUAUGUCCUGUUUCAAAAUGCUCCCUGCCAUGUGGCCUCCGUAACGGCCAUGUCAGUGCUACCUCUAUCAGGUCAGACUUUUCCGUCCCAUCCAAACGCCUGAAUUCGACGGAAGGAUUGAAAUGUCCACGUUUUUCGGAGGCGAGGGACUUGAAUGUAUUUUCCGUUUCUUGAGGACGAAAAUGUCCACGAAAAAAAGAUCAGAAACAAAAAUGUCUUUUACUCUUAUAUUUUUUUCUCAAAUUUUUUAAAUAAAAAAAUAAAUGUCUCAAAAAUAUCUUCUGUUUUGGGACACAAAUAUUAAGAAAGAGUCCAAAAUUACACAACAAAGCUAGAAUAGUCCAAAGGGUCAAGUAAAAUAUUGAUCUUUCAUGACAAAUUGACAUUGGGGUCUUAUUGGGCUGAUUCCGAUUCUAUCGAACUUUUCAUAAAUGGGCUUUUCUUGGGCCGGUUUUGAUUCCAUCCAAAAAUGAGGUUGGAUAUUUAUAGAUAAUGCGCUUUUAAGUUUUAAUUGCCCGUCCAAAAAAAAAGUUUUAAUUGUUUCGGAAAACUUUUUUAUUUUAUUUCAGAAUGGUAUUCCUAUUUUACAAGUAGUGCAAAAACUUUACUUGAUUGUUUAGAAUAAAAUAAUAAUCUAGAUACACUAUCAAUUGUUUUGAAUUAGUGUUUAGAUGAGGUGUAUAAACUGUAAUCUAACUGUAUUAUUUGUUGCUUUUUGCAUUAUGUGCGAAUUGAACUUUUUCUCUAGAGAUCGAGAACCUAACCAAUUAUGAAUUAUCAGAAAAAAAGGACUAUAAAAUCCAAAAAUAAGAGAAAGGGGAUGGAUCUCGCUAGAACCCACUAGCUAACGAAUCCACGCUGCAGAAUAUAUUUUAAGUUUCCGUCACGAGUUAAUAGUCAAUUUCGUCUUUAAAAGUGUCUUCGAUCUUCAUUUUCGUCUACGAAAGUUAAAAUUAAUAAAAAACGUUCUCGAAAAAUAUCUGUGUUGAUCACGUUCGUCCUUCCGUCUUCUCGGUUGAUGAGAUGGCAAACGGCCGCUUACGUGGCCCGUUAACUGCCAAGGUGGCAGUGAAGCAGGAUGACGUCGUUUUGGUUGAGUGAGCCAAUAGCGUUGAAACGUCGCCGUUUUAUCUUUUGAAGAGGUUUUGAAACGUUGCGAUGCCUUACCCCUGUCUCAUAUCAACCAUCGCUCUGUCUUUCGCUCCAAAACGUGUCGUCUCCGACAAGGUAUGCCCUAAGCGUUUGACCGAAGCUCUGCACCACUGCGACAAGGAUCGUUAGUGCUGCUAGACGAUUACAAUGGAAAGGCUUUGGCCGUUGAAUGCAGAGUAGAUGUUAUACUGGAGCAGCAUUGCUAGUAAAAGAAGGCAUUGAGACGUUGAGAGGUAAGGAUUGAACUCAUAAUAUGAUUUCUGACUUAUUCUGUGAUGUGGUGUAUUGUUACUGUGGUGGUAUUAAUGUUCGUCUGAUUUAGGGUUUGGGGUGACGAAGGGUGUAUUAGUGUUGUUUUAGCAUUUUCAUGUAUGAGAUUGUGUUACUUUGUAUGGCUCUAUGACAGUAGUCAGUGAUGUUUGAAUUUAGUGAUGGCUCUGUUGCAUGUUUUUUUUUGUUAAAGGUUGAUUGGUACCAACUGGGUGUACUAGGUGGUGAUUGAUACAGAGCAGUUGUUGCUGGAUUGCUAUUAUUUUAAUCAGAGGAUUCUGGCAAGGAGUUAGACUCUGAUGAGGAGACACCUACUGUUUAUCCCCAAUAUAAUGAAAAAACCAAAUUUGAAAACCUGAAGUUUGAGGUUAGUAUGACAUUCAAAUCAAAAGCUGAAUUUAUACAAGCCACUAGGGAUUACACUAUCCAGUGGGGCAGAAAUAUAUUAUUUACCAAGAAUGAUAGAGUUAGGGUUAGAGUUGUUUGUAAGUCAGACGAUUGUCCAUGGGUGGUUUAUUGUGCUUGUAACAGUAAAGACUUGUCUUGGCAAAUUAAAAUGCUAGUUGAUAAUCACAUCUACCCUAGUAAGAGAAAAAAUAGGGCUGCAACCCAAACCUGGACACUUAGCAAGGUAGUACCUAAGGUUAGAAAGCACCCAACUAUGAAGCAUCGAGAGGUUUAUGAUUGGUUUGUCCGAAAGUGUAAUGUGUACCUCAAUAGCACAUGCAUCACCAGGGCACUAAAAGCUGCUAGAAAAAUUGUAGAGGGUGAUGAGAUAGCCCAGUAUGGUUUGGUGUGGGAUUAUGCAAACGAGUUACUCACUAGCAAUCCAGGAUCCAGAGUGCAAGUUGGUGUGAUCCUUAUGCCUGAGAGUCCUCCACUAUUUGAUCGGUUCUAUGUGUGUCUUGAUGCUUGCGAGCGGGGGUUUAAGGCGGGUUAUAGACCUCUAAUUGGACUAGAUGGAGCGUUUCUGAAGACACUACACGGAGGACAAAUUCUUACUGCUUGCGGACAAGAUGCUAACAAUCACAUCUUUGUGAUUGUCUAUGCAAUUGUCAGUGUGGAAAACAAGGAUAACUGGCAAUGGUUUCUUGAACUGCUUCACAGUGAUCUAGGUGACUACAGAGAGCACAAAUGGUGCUUCAUCUCAUAUAUGCAGAAGGUAAUGAAUUCUGUAAGGACUAAUUUGAUUUACUGAAUAUUCUUUGAAGGACUAGUUUGAUUUAAUGAUUUCAAUGUUGAGGACUGAAAUGAUUUAAUAUCUUUUCGUGUUUGGUCUUUUGUUGCAGGGUUUAAUCCCUGCUGUUCAGGAAGUUUUUCCAAGAGUUCACCAUCGCUUCUGCGUGUGGCAUUUGUGGCGCAAUUUCUCGAAACAGUGGGGUAGUUGUGAGUUAAAAGAUCUUGUGUGGAAAUGUGCAAGGUCAAGGACAACAGUUGAAUUUGAUAGAAACAUGAAGAGAGUUAAGUUGAUCAACGAGAAAGCUUGGCAGUAUCUUGAUAAAUGGCCAAAAGAGGCAUGGACGAAGGCGCAUUUCAGUGAGGUUCCGAAAGUGGAUAACAUAUGCAACAGUGCCUGUGAGUCAUUCAAUGCAAAGAUCAAACACGAAAGGAGUAAGCCUAUCCUGACCCUGGCUGAGAAAGUUAGGAGAAUCAUCAUGAAGAGUAUGGUUGAUAACAGAAAGAAGUUGCAGAACUACCAAGGAAUUCUCCCUCAUGUUCAGCAAAGUAGGUUGGAAGCUAUGACAGUGCUGUCCCACCAUUGGGCUCCUCAGUGGUCUGGUGAUGAAAAAGAUGAGUUGUACGAAGUGCAUGGCUGGCCGACGAAUAUGGUGGUUGACCUGAGCAAGCACACAUGCACCUGUAGGUUUUGGCAACUUACAGGUAACAACUUUCUUCCCUUACUUAAUUAACAAUGUCUUCAUUCAUGAUAGUAUGUUUACUGUAUCAAUUUGUUUGGCUUGAUAAGAAUGCCGUGUAUGCAUGCAAUAUCGGCAAUACAAGAUAAGAAUGACAAGAGACCUGAAGAAUAUUGCCAUGAGUGGUUAAAGAUGGAAGCGUAUAAGCGUACCUACUAUUUUAAUGUCAAUCCGGUUAAGGGGUAGGGUCUAUGGAAAAAAACGCCACAUCCAGCACCAGUCCCACCCCCAGUGAAGCCUAAACCUGGGAGGCUAACAAAGAAGAAAAGAAGGGACAAAGAAGAACAACCGAGUGGGUCAAAGACAAAAAUGAAAAGAAAAUACAACCCAAUCCAGUGCAUGUACUGUGGUGAGGUUGGACACAACAAAAGAAGAUGCGCAAAGAAAAAGGUUGUGGAUGCUGAGGAACAUGCCAAGCAGAUGCAGCUACAAUUGGCAGUUGUUAUCCCAGCUCCAGAAGGUGCUGAACCCGAAGUAAAUGCUGCCCCUACUGAUACUGAUAUUGGUACAGAAGCUGAGGCACCUAUGCCUUCACUUCCAUCACCCACUCAGGCUGACUCAGAGAGUGACAGCAGUGAAUCGGAAUGCAUCCCACCAACCCAAGAGCCCCUACAGGUAGUAUCAUCACUCCUAACUCCUAAAAAAAUUUGAACGUAGCCUAAUCAUGUAACAAACUCAUUUGGUACUGGAUCAUACAGGAUCAAUUGAUUGGUAGGCCACCUAAGUUGCAAGUGAUAAAAAGAAAAGCAAGGUUAACGUCCUCCCCUAAGCAUAUUGCAACUGGAUCUGUGGCUGUUUCUGCUGAGACCAUUAAGGGGACAAGUUCUGGAACUGCUAAGCGGCUGGAAAAAUUCAUGACCUUUGUGCCUACUCCAGGCUUCAAGGCUCCAAGGAAGACUGAUGACAAAGUUUGAUUUGUUAGGAAUGUGUAGUUGUUGAUUCAUUUUGUGUAUGACACAACAUUCUGUUUGUUGCUUUUGUGUGUGGUAAUUUAGUCUAUGGACAAUGUAUCUGUCAGUUAAGAACCUUAUGACUUUGUUCUGCUAUUUCUCUAUUAAGACAAUGUGACAAUUAGCCGUCAAUGACAAGUUACUAUUAAGAUUACUUACUGUCUUCAUUUUGUUUAUGCCUCAACAUAAUUCAUGCAAACACAGAAUUAAUUGCCAAAUUUUAUAAAAUUAUCUACAUUUGAUAGGGAAUUGCUUCCAACUUCAAAUAACUACUCCCAUUCAAAUCAACAAUUUCAAUACAUCAUUACAUGUUCAUAGAGGAUAACUGGGUUCAUUUAGAAGUACAUAAGAAACAACAAAGUAUCACAACUACUACAAACAGCAAAAUCAUUAGCAGUUUCAAAGCUCUAACUUCAGCUUCUAAAGUGCCCAGCUUCCAUGCCACCUUCACCCUCCAUUCAUCAUACUCACCUUCAACCUCCAUAUCAGCUUCUGCAUCUUUCUUUGUACCACACACACCCACUGCUUCAAAUUCAUCAUCAUCAACCCACUUAAAAUAAUUGCAGUGACUGCCCUUCUACAAUUUCAGAUGGGAGUAAACAAAAAAAUCAGAGAACACCCAACAGCAUAUAACAACAUGAAAAAGCUUUAACUUCGUUUACCAUCACUCACCCGGUACCUUGGACAUGCAUGGAAUAAUCUAUUCGGAUUCUCCGCUGUUCCAGAUUUCUUAAUCACAGUCUUCAGCCCACAGAAACAUGAUCUAUCAUGAGCAUUCACCCUCCUCUUUCGCAUCAAAACACUGGAUCCAUGACUGUCCUGCGAUGCAUUUGACAAACCGCCACCACAACCACCAUCUCCUCUCUCCAUCCACGCAGCCAGCCAGAGAUUACGCCUCCUACUUACUUCUACUGCCACCGAAAGUGAUCACCUCGAUGUAUUUAUCGUUCGAUUUGGGACUAGGGUUUAUAAACUCGAAGGACUAAUUUGAUGUCUUAUACAAAACUUAUCUUGUCAGCAACAACAUGCUACAACCACGUAAGCGGCCGUUUGCCAUCUCAUCAACCGAGAAGACGGAAGGACGAACGUGAUCAACACAGGUAUCUUUCGAGGACGUUUUUGAUUAAUUUUGACUUUCGAAAACGAAAAUGGAGAUCGAUAAAACUUUCGGAGACGAAAUUGACUAUUAACUCGAUAAAUUACACUCACAACGGAGAUUUAAUUUAUCAAAAUUAUACUGAUUACUCCUCUAUUUGACCAAUAUAUACUCAAAUUUCUCUUAUUCUGUCAUUAAAUUGAAAGGGGAUUAAAAAGAAGUUAUACAAAGUCAGUUUUAAUCUUACAAUUUGAUCUCUAUGUAUAGAUAACUCAUAGAUAUAGAAUAAUGAUCAUAAAGCUCUUUUUCUUUUAAUUAACAUUGUUAUAAAUGGCAUUUUGUCAUUUUAGUUAAAUCAAACGAAAUAAGAAAAAAAAACAUUAAUAUACAGAUGAUAAAACAUAUAUAUGUAUAUACAAUAAUUUGUAAGUUAAAUUAACACCAAGAUGUCUAAGUGUAUUGUGUUAGACAAAUGUAAUGCAGGGUAAACGAAAAAUACACCAACUUACUUAGACCAUCCCAAGUACCACAGACCAAAUUUCCAAAAAGAGGUACCUUAGACAAUAGAAAAUAAAAUAUAAAACAAGACAGAGCAAAAUUAAAUGAAAAUGCAUAAAAAAAACCAUGAUAAUAAAAGUAAACAAAAAAACAAAAACAAACAUAAAAGACCGUAAAAGAACCAAAAGAACCAAAAGAGUAAAACAAAAAGUGAAAGACAAAGCCCGUACAAAAAACAAAAAACCAGAAUAAAGAAACCGUAAAAGAAAAUAAAAAAAUAAAAAAAAGGACCUUCUAAAGUACCUUGGAAUCUGGAUCCGCCACAGCUUAUUAUGCUGCAUUCGAUUAUUAUCAUGAGUGUCUUGAUCUUCGAGUGCCACUCUAAUUGUCCCAUAAGAGGUCUUCUUAGUACUAGCUCCAGGAAUCAUGAGCCCCUUUCUCCAACCAAACAAUGAUCUUCGCAUUCUUGAUCUGAACAUGUCACAUAAUGCCAAUUCUAACCUUCCCCAUUCUGACAUGACUUCAUUUUCCAUAUUUUCAUGUGCUCUGAGAUACGUUGCUUCUAGCAAAUAUUCAUCAGAAACUGCUAGUAGUUCAUUAGUAUAAGUAAUAGAUGCCUUCAAUUUACCAUAUGAUUUAUUACAGUCCAUAGCAUCUUUCUCUAUCUUGCUCAAUAAUUCUUCCAACACAGGAUCAUCACCGUAUUCUUCCUUCUGCGAUGAUUCUCCCCAUAUGGAUGGAAUCUCGCAUUUCAAUAGAAGAAUGGGAAUCAUCCUUCUAUUGUGUGCUUUGGCGCGUUCUUCAAUUCUCCAUGAUUCUUGGAAUGCCCUCCUCAUCACUGCUUUGAAUGUUGGAUCAUCUGCAUGUUUUAAAUCUAUUCUUCCCCAAUAACGACGAGUUGGAGGUCCAAAAAUAUGGUAUUCCUCUAAAGCAAUCAUCAUACCAAUAUUCAACAUGUCGCAGUCUUUCUCCAUCAUAAAUUGUGCACGUGCCUUAAAAAACUCUUCUGCGAAUUCUUGUACAGCUUGUAUUUGACCAGGGUUUGAAUCAGCAAUAUCUUUUGGCACAUUCUCCUUCAUCAACUCUAUUAACCGCAACACGUCCCAAUUAGAUUCUUCUGAUUCUUUCUUCAAACUUGCCCCAUAGUUAGAAGACGAAGAAGCUUCGUUAGCCUUGGCCAUCUUGUACGACCUCACCAAUGCCUUUGUAAAGCUCAUUCUAUCUUCUUCUAGAUCAACAAGAGACAAAUGCUCAUUGUCAAAUGUUUCUGUUGGAUUCAAAUUAUCUAUCACUUGUCCAAUUCUUUGCCGAGUUUGUUGCGGACUUCUUUCUAGAACUAACUCGCUUGACAAUUUGUGGUUGGGAAGAUGCUUGAAAUAAAUAUCAUCCAUGUUUGUCUCUCCCUUGUAAACAUAAACUCCCCAAUGAUUCAGAGUUAAGGUUGAUUCACAUACAACAUGAAUGGCUUUCCAAUCAUCUCCAAUAUAUGAAUCAAGAUCAUGCCACUCUUUGUCACUGAACAAAGUUCGAAGAUCAAAAAGUAACACAUGAUCUUCCCCAACAUUGAAAUAUUUGGACUUCUCCGGAAAUAUUUGUUGGCCUUCUAUAAACAAGUUGAGACCAACAGUGUAGGAUUUGGAUGAAGCAAUUUGAGGCCAGAAGUCUAGAGCCUUCAUCAAUGUCUCAUCAAUAUCACUGCCAGUGGCUCUCCCAAACAUGAAUGCUAAAGCAACAACAGGAAACUUUCGCCGAGCCCAAAACAGAGGAAUAUCUUUGCUGCAAUUGUAGUCAAGCCAAUUGGGAAUCUCCUUUUUUGGCAUCACAACUUCAAUUCUUUUAGUCUCUUGUAAAAUCUGCCAAUCAGAUAAAAUUAAUUGUAAAAUGAAUUCCAGCUAUCAAAAGGGAAAAGAAAAAGAAUUCUAUUGACUCCUCUAGUCAUCAAAUCUUCCAUAUAUGCACGUAUGAUACCUUGGACAAUGGCAUGGUUGAGGACUGUGGAGUUAAGGAUAGGCAAUAUCUUGCAUCUACUUUUUGAAUGCUUGAUGGAAGUUCUGGAAUUAUCAUAAGAUUAUUACAAUAACUCACGUCAAGAAUUUUCAAGUGCAAAAAUCCUUCAAUGCAUUUUGGGAGGGAUGAAAAACAAUUAUUUGAUACAUUGAUGCCUUCCAACUUCUGAUGAAUAUGAAGAAUUGGAUGAAGAUCUUCAUCUGAAAGAUUAGCACCACUGAAACUCAGUCUCCUUAUAUUUGGACUGCUGUGUCCUUUGAACCUUUUAAAUGAUCUUCCAAGCAGAGAACAUCCAUCUAUUGUCAAUGUGAAAAGUUUUGGCAACAUCAAGAAGCUACCUGGUAGGUACUGGAGUCUUUUGGAUUUAGAGAUGUCUAUAUGCUCGAGCCCUGUAAGAUUACCAAUGGAAUUUGGGAACUCCUCGAUUGCAGAAUUUACCAAGUUAAUCUUUAAUGGUUUGUCCAUCUCUUGCAUGAUUUCUGGGAAGCUUUGGAGGCUUUUACAAAAGUAAAAUGAAAGCACUUCGAGAGACGGCAAAUACAUUUCUGGUACAAAAUGUUUGAGCUUACUGCAUUCCGAAGCACUCAAAUACACAAGGUUUGGCAUAAAUCCAAUGGAUUCAUCAAAUCCUACCAGUUUAUUGCAUUUGUCAAGUGUGAGGACUCUCAGGCUUUUAGCUCCAGACAUAUCCGGGACGUGUGUAACGGAUUGACAUUGGGAGAGGUUGAUAAAUGUCAAAUCCUCAAAUACCUGCAAAACGGAGAUGCAUAAAUUGUUCAUCACCAUGUUCAAUUAAUGUAUUAUUAAGUUUUAUAAAUACAAUUUGAAGCCAUUAAAAAUUAAUAUAAGAUAUUGUGAAAGUUUAUUUACUUAGUGUACCCUUAAAUGACUAAUUCAGAAAUAGAGGGAAGGAGAGAAGUGUGCACCUGAAAUAGCCUUUCCAAUUUAAGAGCACUGUGAGGUAGCUUGAGAUCAACAAUUCUGUGGGGAUGAAAAUCUAGUGGGAAUGACUCUGAUGGAUACCCUUUCCACUCUAGUAGUCGUAAACUAUUUGGAAGAUGACUUGGUGCUGUUGAAAAUACUGUAUUCCGAACAAUUAGAAUUCUGAGUUUCUCCAUCUUGUCAAAGGCAGUAUUAAUCCAAUAAUUUACUUCUUCAAGUGUAGAAGGGUGAAGCAUUAUUCCUUCAAUUGAGCUACUUCCCUAUAACACACAAGCAAAGGAUCAAGACUUAGUACUAGAUUGCCACAGUUAAAACAUAACAAAUUAAGUCUUUUAAAGUAAACUUAUUUCUCUAAAAAAAUACAGUAGUGAUGAAACUUCUUACUGUGUCAUCUUUGAGUACUUGAAGAAUGUCUUUAUGAGACCAUAAUCUGCUGCGUUCACCCGGGUUUGUUGGCGACUCAUUCAUUACAAUCUCUUUGCCCAUGUCUUGUACUAGAUCAUGCAUAUCCAAGCAACCACUCUGAUUUACAGUGAUUAAACAUUUACUAAUGAACACUCGAACAAUUGGAUAGAAGUCACAAGCUUUCAGUACCCUUUUAACAUAAUCCCAUUUCUCUCCUUUGAAGAAACAAGCAAUGUCCAAGAAAGUUUUCUGAUCAAGUUCAUACAAGCUAUUGUAGCUUAUUUCAAGUACUCCUUGAAUACUUGGAUCAAUUCUAUACUUGUGCAGUUCCUCUUCCCAGCUAUCCACACUUGUAAAACCCCCUAAGUGGGAGCCUAUUACUUCUAAAGCCAGCGGAAAGCCCUUUGCAUAACUUAUUGCAUUCCUUGAAACAUUUUUAAAGUUCUCUGCAGGCUCCUUCCUGUUGAAAGCAUGCCAAGAAAAGAGUUCCAAGGAAUCAUCAUCAUUUAGCUCCUCCAUCUUGUAUUUCUUGGUGACAACAUCACCCAUCACAUGCUUGUCUACCACAUCAGUAUCCCUUGUUGUUAUAAUGAUUCUGCUGCCUGAACCAAACCAAUCAUGCCCUCCAGCCAGUGAUUCCAAUUGUGUUAUUGAAUUAACAUCAUCAAGAACUAGAAGUACUCUUUUGUGGCGAAGCCUCCGUUUGAUUUCAUAUCCUCCCUUAAAUUCACUGCCAAGGUCAGUUAUUGUCUCCUCACCCAUGUCAUAUAAAACUGUCUUUUGCAGACUUUCCAAGCUUCCGCGACUUUCAGAUUUUUCUCUGACAUUACCGAGAAAACAUGAAGCUUCAAACUGCCGCUUGAUCUUGUCGAAUAGACAUCUGGCCAAUGUGGUUUUGCCUAUUCCACCAGGUCCAUAAAUUCCCAACAUGCAAAUAUUUUCAUUAGACUCAAUAUUUAGUACUGAUUUUACUUGUUCACAGCAAGUAUCGAGUCCAACUACAUGCUGGGUUGGUUCAGGCAACGGUAAUCUGUCAGCGGUGUCUCUAACAAUAUUCUUGAUAAACUCCGGUUCAUACCUGCACAAACAUGAUGUUUUUCUUACUUUAAUUACGAAUGUUAUAUGAACCAACUUUAUAUAUAGCAUACACUUUUCUAUUAAAAAAUUAACAUCAGUUUCUUCAUGUUCAGGGAGGGUUCCAUCAAAGAAUUGCAGUUUAUUCUUUGACCUAAGGGCCUCAUUGUUUUGGCCCAACAAUGAUAAUUGGAAGGGUUCGAAGUUACAUUUACUAUCGAAACUUCAGGAUUCUCACCUGGAUGCAGGUAAUGGGAUUAUUUGCGUCUAAAUUCACAGUAAGAUUGCCUGCAGAAGAUUGAUUCAUCCUAUUCUGUAAGUUCAGAAAAUUCGAGAGCUGGUUCAAAAGUUUCGCAAGAUUCUCGAUGUCAAUUGGAGUAAAGAUGUUCUCUAUGUGAUCCUGGAUCCUACAAUUGUUCCUCAUUCGCCAUAGUUGGGCUGAACUGGGAACCUUCAGCAACAAUCUAUUCUUUCUACUUAGCCCACUCAGAUUCUCAUUACUGAUACAAUUUCCACUCUCAUCGCACCAUGUGAAAACCUCGGGCUUUGAGGAGGUUGCAAAGAAGAUGCAGACAGAGAUUGUAUGAGACGAGAGACAGAAAAAUAGCUCAUGUGAUUGAAGAUUACUUGCUGAAGAAUAAAGGAGAAUCUCAAACUGAUACUCAUUACAGAUUACAAUAGUUAUACAUGAGCUGAAAAUUACUCUUAACCCUGAUUAACUCUAACUACUUCCUAACUCAUCAUUAACAACUUUCUAACUAUAUUAAGUUAACGGUUAUCCAACUAAACUACUCUAACAUGUGUCUUCAACUCUUAAUUAUAGAACUACUUUUAUAACAAGAUAACUCAUACAUCUUUAUAACUAAUGAAAAAGUUCUGAGUAAGAAAUUCAUCUACAGUAAAAUUAAAAGUACAAAAAUGUUAAUUUUCAUAUAUAUACUGUUUUAUAGAACUAUUUUACACUAAAUAUAUCCAAUCAUAUACUAAUGUACAGAAAAAAAUAGUUAAAUAAUAAAAAUACUAUUAUUAUCUAUAUGCAACAACCUCAAGUUAGAUGUCAGUAUAAAAGAAUUGACAACACAUUUAAACUAGAAUCCAAUCUACUUACUUGAAACAUAUAUGAUUCUGUUGAAAAAUUAAAAUUAGGUAGAACAAGUAUAUCAACAGUGCGUGGUUCUGUAAAAGAAAACAAAAGAAGGCAAGAAAUGAAUGUAAUCGACUUACGUGAUCUCCGUGCAAUGCAGCCAUUUUAUUAGCUUUAGCGUGUCUACUUUGGACAAAGCUAAUCGCCAUGCUUUGACCUUCUCAGAGUCUUUUCCAUAUCUAUCCUCAUGUUUAGCCAUGGCUGUUUCAUAGGAACCCUUCUGUUCCCACACAUCUGAAGGUUUCAUUCUGUAAAUAAUUGGCAGAACCUGCUUCCCUUGCUUUUCGUGACAGUCAACGAUCUUGACCAACUCAUCAAGGCACCACGUCGAAGAUGCGUAGUUCUCGCACAGCACCACUAUUGCCAUUUUGCAAUUCUCGAUUGCGUUCAUAAGAACAGGUCUCAGUUCAUCCCCUACCCUCAGAUUCUCGUUAUCUCUGAACGUGUCGAUUCCAUUUCGCCGCAAAGCAUGAUAGAGAUGAUCCGUGAAUCGGUAGCGUGUUCCUCCUCUAAAACUCAGAAAUACAUCAUCAUUUGCCAUCACAAAUUCACAGUAGUUUGGUACUGAGUUUGAGGAAGAAAAUGUUAUUAGGUUUUGCAAUUGCAAAUGUUUGCUUAUUAUUAUUUGGUAUUGGAAUGUAUCUGAGGCAAUGAGCCAAAUCAAAGGAGCUAAAUUGGAUUCACACCAACAAAUUAUUUAAAAUGUUGACUUAACUGGGAAAGUAACGAACUUUUUUUUUUAAAAUAUUGGAUUUGUAGUCUCACCAAGAUGAGACAGCGAACGAGUUUAACGCCGUUAAGGGAGUGGUUACUGACGGCAGGAAAACGGCGUCGCCGUUUUGUCGUGCAUGGACGACACAUGGCAGUCCCCCCCAAGAGUGAACCUACCGAACCCAUCUUCCUCAUUUCUUCUUCUUCCGAUUCUGAUCUCCUAGAAUUAGUGUAUUACAUUUACACUCAACCACUCCACUAAAUACACAGGUGAGUAUUUUAUUUGUGGUUUAUUGUUAUUAUUUAAUUUUUGAGUAAUUACCCAAAUCAGUUUCCAAAAAUUUUAAAAAAACACAACUGAAUCACUGGCUGGAGGGAUGAUUGGUUUGGUUCAGGCAGCAGAAUCAUUAUAACAAGAAGGGAUACUGAUGUGGUAGACAAGCAUGUGAUGGGUGAUGUUGUCACCAAGAAAUACAAGAUGGAGGAGCUAAAUGAUGAUGAUUCCUUGGAACUCUUUUGUUGGCAUGCUUUCAACAGCAAGGAGCCUGCAGAGAACUUUGAAAAUGUUUCAAGAAAUGCAAUAAGUUAUGCAAAGGGCUUUCCACUUGCUUUAGAAGUAAUAGGCUCCCAUUUAGGGGGUUUUACAAGUGUGGAUAGUUGGGAAGAGGAACUGGAAGUAUAGAAUUGAUCCAAGUAUUCAAGGAGCACUUGAAAGAAGUUACGUUAGCUUGUAUGAACUUGACCAGAAACUUACUUGGACAUUGCUUGUUUCUUCAAAGGAGAGAAAUGGGAGUAUGUUAAAAGGGUAUUGAAAGCUUGCGACUUCUAUCCAGUUCUUCGAGUGUUCAUUAGUAAAUGUCUUGUCACUGUAAAUCAAAAUGGCUGCUUGGAAAUGCAUGAUCUAGUGCAAGACAUGGGCAAGGAGAUUGUAAUGAGCGAGUCGCCAACAAACCCGGGUGAACGUAGCAGAUUAUGGUCUCCCAAGGACAUUCUUCAAGUACUCAAAGAUGACACAGUAAGAAGUCUCCUCUCAAUUACUCUAAUUUUUUUAGAGAAAUAAAUUUACCUUAAAAGACUUAAUUUGUUGUUAUCUUUUUAACAAUGGCAAUCUAGGAAGUGUUGAUCCUGUGCUUGUGUUUUAUCGGGAAGUAGCUCAAUUGAAGGAAUAAUGCUUCACCCUUCUACCCUUGAAGAAGUAAAAUAUUGGAAGAAUACUGCUUUUAACAAGAUGGAGAACCUCAGAAUUCUAAUUGUUCAGAAUACAGAAUUUUCAACAGGACCAAGUCAUCUUCCAAAUAGUUUACGAGUACUAGAGUGGAAAGGGUAUCCAUCAGAGUCAUUCCCACUAGAUUUUCAACCCCACAGAAUUGUUGACCUCAAGCUACCACAUAGUGCUCUUAAAUUGGAAAGGCCAUUUCAGGUGCACACUUCUCUCCUUCCCUCUUUAUUUCUGAAUUAGUCAUUUAAGGGUAUACUUAAGUAAAUAAACUUUCACAAUAUCUUAUAUUAAUUUUUAAUGGCUUCAAAUUGUAUUUAUAAAACUUAACAAUAAUAUAAUUGAACAUGCUGAUGAACAAUUUAUACAUCUCCGUUUUGCAGGUAUUUGAGGAUUUGACAUUUAUCAAUCUCUCUCAAAGUCAAUCCGUUACUCAAGUUCCCAACAUGUCUGGAGCUAAAAGCCUAAGAGUCCUCACACUUGACAAAUGCAAUAAUCUGGUAGGAUUUGAUGAAUCCAUUGGAUUUAUGCCAAACCUUGUGUAUUUGAGUGCUUCUGAAUGCAGUAAGCUCAAACAUUUCGUACCAGAAAUGUAUUUGCCUUCUCUCGAAGUGCUUUCGUUUUACUUUUGUAAAAGCCUCCAAAGCUUCCCAGAAAUCAUGCAAGAGAUGGACAAACCAUUAAAGAUUAACUUGGCAAAUUCUUCAAUCGAGGAGUUCCCAAAUUCCAUUGGUAAUCUUACAGGGCUUGAGCAUAUAGAUAUCUCUAGAUCCAAAAGACUACAGUAUCUACCAAGUAGCUUCUUGAUGUUGCCAAAACUUUUCACAUUGACAAUAGACGGAUGUUCUCUGCUUGGAAAAUCAUUUAAAAGGUUUAAAGGACACAGCAGUCCAAAUAUAAGGAGAUUGAAUUUCAGUGGUGCUAAUCUAUCAGAUGAAGAUCUUCAUCCAAUUCUUCAAGUUCUCCAAAAGUUGGAAGGCAUCAAUGUAUCAAACAAUUGUCUUUUUUCCCUCCUAAAAUGCAUUGAAGGAUAUUUGCACUUAAAAAGUCUUGAUGUGAGUUAUUGCAAGAAUCUUAUGCUAAUUCCAGAACUUCCAUCAAGCAUUCAAAAAGUAGAUGCAAGAUAUUGCCUAUCCUUAACUCCACAGUCCUCAACCGUGCCGUGGUCCAAGGUAUCUUACAACCAUAUAUGGAAGAUUCAAUGACUAGAGGAGUCAAUAGAAUUCUUUUUCUUUUUUCCUUUUAAUAGCUGAAAUUCAUUUUACAAUUAAUUUUAUCUGAUUGGCAGAUUUUACAAGAGACUAAAAGAAUUGAAGUUGUGAUGCCAAAAAAGGAGAUUCCCAAUUGGCUUGACUACAAUUGCAGCGAAGAUAUUCCAAUCUUUUGGGCUAGGCGAAAGUUCCCUGUUGUUGCUUUAGCAUUCAUUUUUGGAGGAGCCACUGGCAGUGAUAUUGAUGAGACAUUGACCAAGUAUCUAGAAUUCUGGCCUCAAUUUGCUUCGUCCAAAUCCUACACUGUUGGUCUCAACCUGUUUAUAGUAGGCCAACAAAUAUUUCCAAAAGAGUCCAAAUAUUUCAAUGUUGGGGAAGAUCAUGUGUUACUUUUCGAUCUUCGAACUUUGUUCAGCGACGAAGAGUGGCAUGAUCUUGAUGCAUAUAUUGGAGAUGAUUGGAAAGCCAUUCAUGUUGUAUGUGAAUCAACCUUAACAUUGAAUCAUUGGGGAGUUUAUAUUUACAAGGGAGAGACAAACAUGGAUGAUAUUUAUUUCAAGCAUUGUCCCGACCUCAAUUCUAAUAAUAAUGCGAUUAUUAUUAAGGCAAAGAAGGGUGGGUACUAAUGGCAUUGUGGAUGUGAUUUGCGAUGUUAAAUACAUAACAUACAUGCAUGAUGUAUGUGUUGAUUAGGUCGCUAUCAGCCAUAGAUCUUGGUUCUCAAUUUAUUUGUAUGGAACAACACGAAAUGAAAAUUUGAUAGAUUUGGUUAGGAAUAGUUGGGUGUCUAGUAUUCUUCUUAAGCUGCUAACAUAGAAAAGUAUUAUGCAACUAUUGGUUAGUGCUGACUUGAUCUUAUAGUUACAGUGUUAAACACUUAAACACUUAUACUAACACUUUUUUUUUUAAAUUGAAUUUUUUUAAUCAAAAAAUUAAUUUUUUUUCUUAGAUAAUUGAAGAGCAAUAUAUAAUUAUUUGAAUACUUUCCCAACCUGUUCUGAUGCAGACAGGCAACCAUUUUUGAACACUACCAAGUGGGUUGAGGAGGUUCGCCAAGAACGCGGCACUGAUGUUAUUAUUGUCUUGGUUGGAAACAAAACUGAUCUUGUUGAUAAGAGGUGAGCAAUGAGUUGUUAAAUUUGGUGUUUUGAUUUUUAUUAAAAAAAAAAAAACUAUGUGAUUUUUCCGUAAGAAAUCUUAUAAGGCAAUUUUGAUACUUAACCUGCAGGCAAGUUUCUAUAGAGGAAGGAGAGAGUUAGAAGUGAUGUUUAUAGAAAGCAGUGCAAAAGCAGGCUUCAACAUGAAGGUGAAAAUUAAUGAGUCCUGCUAGUUAUCCCCAUAUUUCCUGGCAUUAUUCUUUCUUGCUCUUACAUAGAAUACAGAAUAUAUCUCAUCAAUUCACAGGCAGAUCAGCAUGCUAGAAAGGUUAUUUACUUGAUGACUACUUUAAUGGAAAAAUGUUGGUCGAGGAAACCUUCCGUUCACUUGAUGAGGGGCACAAUUGCUACAAUUAGUCCCUCGAUGUAAGAAUACAGAUAAUAAACAAGGCCUUUCCUUAGUACAGUGAUAUGCGUGUGAUUAAAUUCACAACUUAUAAAUGUUUUUUGAGAUAAAAUUUCCUACUGUGAGUUGUAUUAAAAUUUUAAGAACAACAGUGUUUAUUGAGAUAAUCAAUCGAAGCAGCAUGAUACCAUGUUCCACCAACCUGCAAGACAUAAAGUGGAGUGUUUCAUUUCAUUUCAAUUGCCUAACAAGAAGACACGCGCACAUGUCCUUCUCAAUCUCAUCUUAGAAGAAGGGUAGGUUUUGAUUGCACUAAGAAAGCUAUCAUGCAUUUUACUAUUAAUAUUUUUCCUUUUCGAAUUUUGGUUUGACAAGAUUAAAAGCUACAUUUCCAAUUGCUGUUUCUCUUUGCCUGUGCAUUAUGAUUUUGAUUUGAAGAUCAUACACAGUUUGUGUUGCACCUCUUGAGAGGCUUAAGCUGGAGUACAAUUGCGGCUUCUCAAGGGCUGAAAGGUUUUUGGAAAGGAAACUUUGUAAAUAUUCUUCGGACAGCACCCUUUAAGGCUAUAAAUUUUUAUGCCUAUGAACGCUUUGGAACAACUUGAAUUGAGUACUAUUAUAACUUUGUUGUAUGGUGCUAUUGCUGGAUGUUGUUCCGAAGCUGCUACAUACCCCUUUGAAGUUGUGAGGAGACAGCUUCAAAUGCAAGUUCGGGAAACAAGGUUGAAGCUGAUGGCAACUUGUGUCAAGAUUGUUGAACAAGGAGGUGUUCCUGCACUUUAUGCUGGAUUAAUUCCCAGCUUAUUGCAGGUAUAAUCUCUUAUGGUGCACAUUAAAUUUAAUUGAAUUAGUAAUUAGGAAAAUUGAAUUGUUAACCUUGGUCUUGAAAGUUGAGUUUUGAAUCUUAGCCCAUGUGUGUCAAGCUUUUUUCAUUCUUGUCUUUUGAUAUUCAUUGUUUAUGAGUUUCAGGUGUUACCAUCAGCUGCUAUUAGUUAUCUUGUUUACGACCCAUAAAGCUAACUAGCUUUUCAAAUUCUACAAAGCUCCAUCAAGUUAGGCAGCAAAUGAAAAGCUCUAUACAAGUGGCUUUCAGUGGAGAGCAGCCAAGCCAAAUGCAGAGAAGAACCCAAAGUGGAAACCAGAGAUGGUUCAUCAUGAAACCUGAAUGAAGGGCCCCAGUCAUAGAUUCAGCAAUUCCAGAGAAAAAAGCCAUAUUGAAUUUCAGCUUCUGGAUAAUGAGAAACCUGUAUAGAACAAAAGUUGACAAGUUUUGCCAUAAGAAUCAUAAUGUGACACUUGUGUUAAUGCUGACAAAUUGGAAAAGAGAACAUUUGUUUCAUGAAAAAGAUGAAAGCAUCAACUAAACCAAUGGAGCUAGAAUUGUGUUUAUAUACAUAUAUUUAAUCAAUUUAAGUUUUUCACUACAGCGUGGGAACUGAAAUUUGCAUGCUAUAACUUUUUAAACUAGAGAUGAGAAAUUCUACUGCAAUUACCCAUCUAAAAUGGAUGAAGUGUGUGCUGUUCCAAGCACUCACAAGGUGCUUGAAACCACUACAUCUUUGCACUAGGUUUCAUUGAAUGCUUGCAUUACCAUAUCUAUGAAUUCUUGCAAUAUUAAACUCUGCGUUUCAGACAGAGAAGAGUAUAUUAGAUGGAGACAAGGAAAAAGUAGGAGGCAUUAUAGAAAAUUUCAAAUAAUAAAUAACGUCAACACAAAAAACUUUGAUUAUACCAAAACCUUUUGCCUCCUUCACUUUUCCAGGAUCAAAUUGGAAAUCCAAUGAAGCAGGAAAAAAGAAAAAAGAAAGAAAGAAAAGAAGAAAGGUACUCUUGCGGUAGGAGUUAGGAGCAUAACGUAUCUUUAGAUUGUAUUGAAUCUAAUUGAACAAAAAUGGCACAUUAAAAAUGAAAUAGCACAGAAUUAUGGUUAUAUCAAAUUUUGCAACAUUUUCUAUAUAUAUAUAAAUCGUAUUCGCCUAUCCUUUACAGCGUGUAACAUAGAAAAGUAUUAUGCAACUAUUUAGUGCUGACUUGAUCUUACAGUUAAAGUUUUAAACACUAUACUAACACUUGCUUCUCAAAAGUUUCGUUAUAAUAAUUUAAUUUACUGAUGCAAGCAUACUUGAGAAAGAGAUGUUAAUCAAGCAAUUGGAAUAGUAAAACUAUUUGUAAAAAAUUCUCAUGGAGAAAAUUAUAUAAUAAGAGAAAAUUAUUAUUAUUAUAAAAAUUAAAAUUGUUAAUCAUACAAUGGGACUAAAUUCAACCACUGAUAUCUUUAGUUGAAUUUUAAAUUUUAUAAUUUUAUCUUGAAAAGAUUUGACCAAACUGAUCACAUAAGAAUUUGUUAGAGAAAGAUAUAUAAAAAAAAAUCAGAAAAUAAGAAUUUGUUUGGAAAACAUAAAUCUUUCGUCUAAUUGUUCUUUUAAUUAGGAUUGGCACCUUUUUUUCAUUUAAUUGUUCUAUUAAGAUGAAAUUUGAUUUAAAUUAAUUAAGAACAAGUCAUAAUGAUAUCUUUACUUGAAUUUUAAAUUUUAUAAUUUUAUCUUAAAAAGAUUUGACCAAAAUUGAUCAUGUAGAAAUCAGUUAGAGAAAGAUAUAUAAAAAAAUAAAAAAAUAAAAAACUUAAAAGAAAGAUGUUAUGUUUAAAAAGGAAAAUGAAAAACUGAAAAGUGUUCUAAUUAUCUAGAACACCAUAGUUAAUCAGAUUGUUUAUAAACAAUGUUAAUUAUACAAUAUUGAUAUAAUCAACAGUGAUAAUAGGUAACUCAAAAGAAUUAUUUUACAAAAGUCUGAUAUUUUUUUUCUUUACUGUAUACUUGUAUAAGGAUUUUGGUCUACAUUUAAGAUCCUCUAAAGAAUUGAUAAACAAAAAAUAUUUUUAAAUUAGAUAUUUGAAUCUUAAAUUAAUUUUAUAUUUUUGAAAAAUCUUUUAAAUAAUCGCUCAAUUAAUUAUUCUGAUCUUUAGAGUACACAGGAAUAAGUCGUAUUUUAUUUUUGGUAAAUAGUUUUUUUUUAAUUUAUAAUUUAUAAUUAAAAAUUUUUUUGUUAAAUAUAGCUUAUUUUGGUGUAUCUAUGUAUUUUUUGAGACGAUAAUAAUAGUUACCAUCAAAUCCAAAAAACUAUAAUAAUGAGGGCAAAAAUAAUUAUUUUUUGAUAAGGAGAAUUAUAGUUGUUUUAUGUAAAUUUUUUUUGUCUCUCACACAAUUUUGGUAAAAAUUUAAAAUUAGUUAAUUCGAGUUAUAUUUAUUAUAGAUUCUUUAAUUAUUGGACUAUAAUUUUCUGUUGUAUUAUAUAAAAAAAUCAAUAAGAAUGCUAAUUAAUUUAAAAAAAAAAUACCAAAAAAUAAAAAGAGAAAAAAAAUACUAGUCUUUAAGAAUGAAAAUGAAACCAUCUGACAAUUCAAAUCUAGUUAAUGGCCCUGAAUUUGAUUCCCCAUCCCUCACUAGCCACAGAUUCAAAUUUUGUAUUAAAAAAAAAAACAAAACCCCACAAAGUAAUCAAUGUUAUGAUGAAGAUCAAAGAAAAAAGAAUUAAUUGCAAACAAACCUGGUCUCCUGCAAAGUCAAUGAUAGCAGCCAUUCUGGGCUGAAGCAAUUGUUUUCCUUUUACUUUGAGAAACAAUAUGCCUCCAUUAUAAAGACUUGACAAAAUUGCAAUAGCCAGCAAAUAUCUGAGCCAUUGUUGAGUUCCAAUAAUCAAUGUUGAGAAUUAAGAGACAUAAUAAAAGCAUUUUCUUUAGAUAAUUUCCUAAUAAGUGAACUUUCAGUUAUAAACUGCCCUUAACAAAUUGGAAUUCACAUACACAAUCAAUCAAUUGAAUUUGGCAAAUCUAUAUUGUUUUGGUGAAUUCAAUCGAUGAGUAACAAAAUCAAUCGAUUGAAUUGUGAGACCUCAGGUUGUUUUCAAGCAUUCAAUAGAUUGGAGAGUAUAAACAAUCGAUUGAAUUACAAAAAUUCACUAUUUAUUCAUCGUUUAAUCGAUUGGGUCAUAUGACCAAUCCAUUGAUUUAUGCGAAAAUCAUGCUGCCUUGCAAUUUUCAAUCGAUUAUUUUGUGAUAAACUGUAAUCCAAUCGAUUGAGUUAUAAUUCAAUCGAUUGUUUUGAUAAUCCAAUCGAUUGGUUUUCAAGGAAACACGAUUUUAUGGUUCAUCACGAACGUCACAGAUCAAAUAUAAACUUUUAAUCCAUUCGAAUGGCCAAAAGUUUUAUUACGAUCCAUGGAAGAUCUAAUUCGUUAUUGUUUUUGUUUUUUAUUAUUAACAAAUAACAAACAUAAUAGAUGAUUGAUAAAAUAAUAAUUUAUAAAAUAAAAAAUAGUUUUUAUAAUUAAAUAAAAUAUAUUGGGUUAAUUUGUAAUUAAAAUUAGUUAAAGGACUAUAUAGCAAUUGUUAAAAAAACUUUUAAAACAUGUUUUGUUAUGGGACCAUUUAAUGGUCCAAAUGUUCUGGGACCAUCGAAUCGGGUGCCCUGCUUCAUAUAUACAACGAUAGUCUCAACCAAGAUAAUAUAUUACUUAAUACUUAUUGGUCUCUUUUUAACUCAUUCUCCCAUGAUUUGGUCUCUAGCACUGAACGAGCGUGAUUUUAUUUAGAACUUGGAAAACAAUCGUACACAUUUGUAGUACAAUAUAUUAGUAUAGAUGUAUUAUUAUAUCAGCACUCUGGACUUUGGAAAUUUUUUCCAUAAUAACGAGACACUGAAACUGAUGACAAACUCGAUUUUUUUUUAUCUAAUAAUAUAAAUUACUGAUAAUAAUAUUGACACUUCUUGAUGAUGAUGAUAAUAAUAAUAAUUUUUCAAAUAUACCAAAUUAUAUAAUAAUAUUCUUCCAAAAUAACAUCAAGGAGACUGAGACUUAGAGUUAUUAUUUUAAAAAAGAUGAGUGAUACAUAAAGUAUUAGUAUACCAAAAAUGUCGAGUAAAAAUAAUUUAAAAACAAAUAUAUUGUUACUAUAUCUAAAAUUGUAUACUAAGAAUGUUAUGAGAUGUAUUCAUACAAAGCAUGUAAUUAAAAAUGUUAGCAAAUAUGAGAUAAUAGAUUAAAGAAGCACACAAACACUAUGUAAUCUUUAUAAUAUUAAAAGUAGAAUAGCAAAACAGUGUAACAAACCCUUCCUUGCUAACACAUUGACACGUGUACUCCCUAUUAAACUGAUACAGAAAAAUAACAUAAACUAAAAUAACCAACAAAAUACUGUUACAUCGGACAUCUAAACAAACUAUCCAUACAACAAAUAGUCACCUGCCAUGACAUUAAGACCCUAACUACAAACAAUCACAGAGUUGAAGUCUCUAAAUUAUCUAAUCACUACUCACCCACCUCUUACUAGCAAACUUUGUGUCCAUUUUCAUUAUACAUUCAAAAGCAAAAAAAGGAUUGUGUUUCUUAUGUCCCGCUUUUAUUUUUUUUUUAUCUAUCCAUCAAUAUACAUAUGAUUUUGAUGUGGUUAUUUUUAUCCAUUUAUAAUUAAUAUGUCAUUCUAUUUUUGUUUUCAUUUAAACUUAUUAUUUUUUUCUUCCCAAUUACAAGUUAUGGGUUAUAUAAUAUUUUUGCUGAAUUUAAUUUUAACCCAAAAAAAAUCAUUCAAUGUAUAUUAUUACUAAAUUACUAUUUUUGGAAAAAAAAAAUAAUAAGUACAUGGACUAAAAUAGUAAUUAAAUAUUUUUAUCUUUUCUUUUAAUGAGAAUAUUUAUUUAAAUACUUAAUUUAAAUGAUAUUUAAAACAUGCAUCAAAUCUGUCAUUAGUUAAGAAAAUGAGAAAACCAAAUUUUUUGUUAUGUUAAAUUCUUUGGUGACAGUGAUAAGCACGUUUCCUUUAUCUGGUCAUCGGGUCAGUCUAGCCAAAAAAUAAUUCAACCCGCCUGAAAACCCACUCAUGAACCCGCCCCACCCAUACUCUCCUAUGUAAGCACUCAUGUUUUAUGGGUUUUUCUUAUUGUUGUUGGUCUAUGAGUUUCACAACAUGUAAAAUAAUAUAAAAUAGUGAAAAUCUUGAAAACCUAAUAGUAGUCAACAACAAUUAUAUCUGCGGAAUGAUUGAGCAAUUCAUUAGCUAAUUUAGAACUGAUCCAAAACCAAUCCAAAUGCAAUCAAACUAUUUCAGCAACUUAUAACCAAUUCAACAUUUCAAUUGUACCAAGAAGCCAAAGCUGAAUGAAGAAGAAUGAAAUAGCUUGAAGAACAAAGACCAACAAAGGAAUCUUAGAAGAGAACAGAACGAAAAAAUCUGAAUAUACCUCUUUAUUAUUAGUGUAAGAAAAAAAGAUCCAUACAAAAUCAAUGAUCUAAAUCUCUCUCUUUACCUGAUUAGUCAUAGCUAUUUAUACAUGUACUUCAAAAUUAUUAUGCAGAUCGAUAACCAAGUUGAGAACACUAAUCUUAACAAACCAAACUUAAAAGUAGAAUAGCAAAACAGUCUUCCUUGCUAACACAUUGACACGUGUACUCCCCAUUUAUACAUUGCUAACACAUUGCUACCAAAUAAAGCUUAAUAACCAAUCUCAUUAGAAGCUAUUUACACAUGUACUUCAAAAUUAUUAUGCAGAUGAAUAACCAAGUUGAGAACACUAAUCUUAACAAACCAAUCUCAGUCUUCUUGGCUUUUUAUUUUUUUAUCUUUGCUAUCUUUAUUUGUACCUUCAACAAAUUCAUCCAGUGCCAUACUUAUGCCUAAUCAGUUCAGCAACCAGUCAACAUUUUAUGAUUUAAAACUUACAAUUAAUCAACAACAAAAUAUAAAGAAAAAAGCAUAAUCACAGUGCAGCUAAGCAAUCAGAAUCAAACCAUAAAUAUCUCAUAAUUACGAAAAUUUCAGCAGUCCAUCAGAAUGCAAUGAGGCAUGCACCAUAUCAUCAUCAACAUUUUAGAAUCAGGAAAUCAGCUACUGGAAUCACCAAUCCAAAAUUAGAAUAAAUCAGCAUCAACAUCUGAAGGCAGGAUUAAUAAAUUGAACAAUUGAAUUUAAAACUCAUCAACAGAAAGAAUUCAAAUAAAGAAUCAAGAAAUUAAUAUCUGAACAAUCAGAAUCAUAAAAAAGACACCACAUGCAGAUUGAGAAUAAAGUUCAAAUUUUAGAAGAGUCGAGUCCGAGAGAGUUACUCUGAGACUUUAGACCUGAGGGUUUAACAUUUGAAAACUUUGGCCAUCGUGAUAAACUGCAACUGCGAAACACCACACGCAGAACAGAAGCAACGACGGUGAGAUACGGUGUGAAUUGGACAACCAGAAACGAUGCCGGCGAGGAAGGGAGUAGCAGACACGCGACGGGGGUCAGAAGCAGAAACGACGCAAAAGAUGAAGGUAGAACCCGCGACGACACACGACGAGGAUUGGAGACACGGCGACGACGACCCACGGCGAGGAGCAGAAAAUCAUUAACGACGACCCAAGGCGAGGAGCAGCGAGGCAGCGACAGAGUCAAAGAGGGCGACAGAUAGACAAGGAAGAGAAGGGCUCGGUGAUCACAACUAUGUGGGGCUGUGUGGCCUGCGGUGGCUAUGGGGUGGGUGGCUGUGGGUGGCUACGUUUCUUUUUGAAAGUCUCUGCAUUUUCAGAGAGUAGAGGCUAAGAGGGGUGGGAGUGGGUUGCGGGUUUUGGGUUGUCAUUUGUUUUAUUUUAUUUUUUUUGUAUUUUUUUUCCUAACCUAUAAAACCGGGCUCUUAUGAGGGGGGGUAUUCGAACCGUAAUCCUUUAAUAAACCCCCCGGAUCAGGAGAUUCACCGGUUAAUUUCCGGUUCAACAUAUUUUCUGUUCAGUUUUUUAUCAGCCAGCCGAUCCAGCUCGGGUUCGAAAACUAUCUUAUAAUGGGGAGUGACUCUUUUAACAAUUUGAGAAUCAACCAUAGUUAGUAAAGUAACCUGUUGAUUAAUGCUCUGAUGGAAGCCAUCAUUUCACAUUUCAUAUUUUAAAUGAGGCUCAUUUGUUAACACAGAUACUUUAUGCACACCAAGUACAGUUUAUAGGUAUCUAUUGUUUUACUACUUAGAGUUAAUAAUACCCCAAAAGAAAAAGUAAAUGUCAUUGUCAACCAUUAAUGUUUGCUUUAAAAGAAAACAUGUAGUCAUGUAGAUUGUAUGGCUUCUAAAUAGCAAAGUCACAGAGUUGGUAUUGUCUUAGUGAUUGAUGUGGUUCCAUCCAUUCUAUUAAUUGCACCAACUUCUUAAUAACACCAUAGAUUUAUAACAGAUGACAUAAAUCCUAAUUUAAAAACCUAUUGAAUAAUGUUGGAUUAACUUUUGUUUUUGAUCGCAUACCCUAAACAUAGCCACUUUAAGAAUUUGAUAGAAUUAUCGUCAUUUUUUAUAAAUAUUAGUUAUUUGAAAAUAGUAAUAUAAUCACAUCAUAUGCAAGUUAUGAAAAAUAAUUAGAAGUUUUAAUUAUACUCCUAUUUUUUAAAUAUAUAAUUGAUUGAGAUUAUAUAAUAUUUAGUGAUUAAUAUUUGAGUAAAUUAUGUUAUACAAUAUAUUUUUUUUAUCUUAGUUAUCAGUUAUCAGAGCUAUUUUAAAUAUUAUUUAUAUCAAUAUCAACAGUUAUUUUUUAAAAAAAUUCUCUAAUUAUAUAUUGGACAUAAUUAAAUAAAUAACAAAGAUAAGAUUAAAUAAAUUUGUUGAAUUGAUACAUUUUUCGUCUUUCAAUAAUAGUUAAAAGUUUCAAAAAUAGUCAUCAAGGUUUAUUUUGUUUCAAUUUUGUCUUAGGAUAAGUUUUUCCUUUGAAUUAAAUGUACUCUUCCUGAAUAAUUUUUUACACAAUUUUACAAUUCUUUAUUUAUAGUUUUGUUCUCCUAUACUAUAUAAAUUAUUGGGCAUAACACAGCUGUGAAGAAUAAUAAUAAUAAUAAUAAUAAUAAUAAUAAUAAUAAUAAUAAUAAUAAUAAUAAUAAUAAUAAUAAUAUUUUUGACAGAAAUUAAAUAAGUUAAUGAUUUUUAUAAACAUGGUGUUCAAAUGCUUACCAAAGGGACAUUUGAUCGAAAUCAAAAUAAUAAUAUAAUCACAUCAUAUGCAAGUUAUGAAAAAUUAUUAAAUAUUUUAAUUAUACUCCUAUUUUUUAAAUAUAUUAUUGGUUGAGAUUAUAUAAUACUUUAAUGAUUAAUAUUUGAGUAAAUUAUCUUUUAUACAAUUUUAUUGUCAACGAUAUAUUUGAUUCAAAUUUAAAAACUUUAAGGAUAAAGGUGAAACAAACUAAAACUUAGAGUAUUCCUAAAAUUUUAAACGAAUUUCAGAGAAAAAAAAAUAUACUUUAUCCAAAUUUGUAAUUAUCAUCUACUUACAAUUCUAAAGCCUUUUGGAAGAAUUUUGUCAAAAAAAUUUUGAAAAUACAAUUUUAUCGUUAACAAUUAAUAUGGUAAUUUGAGUCUUGCUCCUUAAAAGCUCGACUUUAUUUAUCCAUCCCAACUCUUUCACUAUUUAGUAUUUUACAAGGUCAUUUUGCAAAGAUUAAAUAAAUUUGUAGAAUAAAUACAUUUUUUGUCUUUCAAUAAUAGUUAAAAGUUUUAAAAAUAGUCAUCGAAGGUUUAUUUUGUUUUAAUUUUGUCUCAGGAUAAGUUUUCACUUUCAAUUAAAUGUACUCUUUGUGAGUAAUUUUUUACAUAAUUUUACAAUUCUUUAUUUAUAGUUUUGUUCUCCUAUAAUAUAUAGAUUGUUGGACAUAACACAGCUUUGAAUAAUAAUAAUAAUAAUAAUGACAGGAAUGAGGAUAAUGAUUUUCAUAAACGUGGUGUUCAAGUGUUUACCAAAGAGACAUUUUAUCGAAAUAAAAUUAAUAGUAUAGUCACAUCAUUUGCAAGUUAUGAACAAUGUGUAAAAAUUUUAAUUAUACUCCUAUUUUUUAAAUAUAUAAUUGGUUUAAAUUAUAUAGUAAUUUAAUGAUUAAUAUUUUAGUAAAUUAUCUUUUAUACAAUUUUCCUAUCAACGAUAUAUUUGAUUCAAAUUUAAAAAUUUUUUGGAUAAAGGUGAAACAAAGUAAAAUUUAGAAUAUUUCUUGAAUUUUAAACAAAUUUCAGAGGCAAAAAAUAUACUUUACCCAAAUUUGUAAUUAUCAUCUACUUACAUUUCUAAAGCCUUUUGGUAGAAUUACGUAAAAAAAUCUCUAAAAUACGAUUUUAUCGUUAAUAAUUAAUAUAGUAAUUUAAAUCUUGCUCCUUAAAAGCUCAGCUUUAUUUAUCCAUCCCAACUCUUUCACUAUUUAGUAUCUUACAAGGUCAUUUUGCACUUAAUGUUAGCUAAACCAUGCAAGACCUAAAACUUGUGAAAUUUAUUGCAUCUGAAGAAGGUAGUUGUGCUUUCAAAGACAUAUUAACAUUCUAUAAAUGGACUUCAACAAGCAUUGGUCACCACAACAUAUUGUUUGGAGUUUGUCAAGUACUCUAUUUUACACUUUGUAAUCCUAAGUAUGAGUGAUAUACCUCCAACAGAAGUUGAGGUUCCACAACUCCCUGAUGAGAUUAUAAGUGAGAUCCUCUAUUUAUGUGACGCUCAAACCAUUGUCAGUUUCAGUGCUACUUGCCGUUAUUGGAGGCAAAGGGUAACUUCAUUUGAAUUUCUCAGUCAAAUCUCAAGGAUAUGGAAAAGGCGUGGCUGCUCACUAUUCAUUCACUUUGGGUUUGCAUCUCCUGUGAUCACCUCGGUGGAUUGGAUAAUGAAGAUUGAUGCCGUUACCGGGGAAACCGGCUACCUCAACUUGCCUUUUCUUUUAACCCAACACGGUUGGUUUCAGCUCAUUGGAGUCGAGAUGGGAAUCUUCUGUAUCCGUUACUCCUCCCUUGGAAGGAGAAGCCACUUGGUGAUUUGGAAUCCAGUUUUUCAAAUCCCUCGGGUACUAGAUGAUCCUUUGCAAGGUGGUUAUUGUGAGGGUGCUUUCACUUAUGCCUUUGCUCACUUUCCUAACAGUGUUCAUUAUGCAAUUUUGCAUGUAUUUAAAGAUGAACCCGAAAGCACUGCUUACACUUUAACUAUGUAUACAAGUUUCACUAGGAAUUGGCAUGUUAGAAUUGCAUGUCCUUCGUAUGUGCAACGGUUGGAUCAUUCAUAUGUUGCAGCCAGUGGUGUUGUGUAUUGGCUUGCUGACCGUGAAGACAAUGAUCAACCAUACAUUGUAUCUUUUUCAUUGAUGACAUUGACUUUUGGCCAAAUUUACGUCCCUCCUCAAGCUACGUCUCAUUGUGGUUGCCUUUUGGUUAGAGAUGGAUGUCUAUGUUUGGCAUCAAAUAAUCACACAAUCUAUUCAUACAACUCAGUUAUAUGGCAAGUAAGUGACACCCAUGGAGGUGUUAACUGGUCACAACUAUUUACAUAUAAUGGAAUAGGUACUUUGUACGUGCCAGCUGUCAUGGUUGAUCAUGAUGUUAUCCAAGUUAUGGAGAGGCACCUACAACUGGUUGGGGCUCAAGUCAUUGCGUACUCUCAGUUUUUUAUGGUUCGAUAUAACCCCAUUGAAGGCACAAGAAAGAGGCUUCAUCGGGUUUUUUAUGAUAAUUAUGUUAAGAUUAAAUCUAUCCAUGCAUAUGAAGAAACUUUAUUUCCUGUGUGAUGGAUUACCUAGAAAGUUGUAAUAGCCAUGCGUUGCUCCAAACUAUGCUUCCUAGGACUUAGGGUUUAAAGCUUUAAGGGUUGUGUGCUAUUUAGAGUUGGUUUUAGUGGAAAACUAUGUCUUUGCUUAUUGUGGUUUGUUUAGUGUGUAUGAGUGUUACCACCAAUGUCAUAUAUUGGUUCGACUUGCAUUGUACAACGAACACCAUGCAUGGCAUUGUUGGUUCGUUUGUAGUAUUUAUCCUUUAUUUUUAAGUUCAUCUGCCUUAUUUGUGUUGUAAGGGUUUGUAUUUGAGUUGGUGCAAAGUAUUUUAUUUAUUAUGCUGUGUUUUUAUGAUUAUAUACUUCGAUGGGUUUGAAAAGAAAAUGUUCGAUUUCUUUCUCUUAGAAAGACACAACACAUAGUGAAAGUUUGCCAAAUAGUUUCCAAUUGUAUACCGUAUUUGAUGAGCAAGUUAUAUUAAAAAUAUCAAAUCUUAAAGGGCAGCUUUGAAUGACUCAAGAGAGUUUGAUUAUGUUAUGAAACAACUUUGGAUAAAUGAAAAAAAAAAUAUUAGUCACACCAAACAUAGCAUUCAAAAUCAAUCUUAAUGAAGUUGUUUGGAAUAAAAAAAAGUAAAAAAUAAUAUUGUUUACAUAAAAUUGUCCUAACAUUUACUAUCAUAAUCAAAGAGUUCUUCGAAGAAAGGAAAUAAACGAUUUUAUCAUACACACACACAAUCCUAAUAAUAUUAAAAAAUGUUUGACAAAACUAAAAUAAUAUUGCUAUGCAUGCACCCCUAGCAUUAUCACAAACAGGAUAAUACUUUGCAUGUUAAAGCACCGUGUUGUUAGUGUAUUACCAAAAGUUAUUACAUUUAAUGUUGGUUUAUGUCCAUCCUACUUGAUUGCUAAUGAACUAUGCUAAAUGGGUGUUGACUUUCUCAAGAUAUUAGAGGCUAGGUGUAAUUAUUACUUAAGUAUCUACUUUUACUUAUAUGUAUAUUUAUUAGUUUGCCUCUUUUUACACUGCACUCACUAAUUAUUAUCAAGUGGUUCAAAAUAAAAAAUUAAAUGAAGAUGGGACAUGAAAUAUUGCUUCAGGUCAUUUCUAAAUCUUUUCUUACUUAUUGUGGAGUAGUUCAAGACAAAGAAUUAAAUGGAGAUAGAUAUGAAAGAUUUCCUCCUGUCAUUUCAAUCUUUCUUACAUUGCCUUUAGUAUACUUAAAACUUAAUAGAUGUUAGCUUAAUAUCAAAAUAAGAAGUAGAAUUUUUGUAAGAUAUGAUACCAUUAUUUAUAAUCUAGAUUUAUUAAAUUUUUUAAAUAUUAUUUACUAUUUUUGUAGGAAUUAUUAAUAUCAUAUCAUCUAAAAUUCUCUUAAGUAUAUAGUCAAUGGUAAUGAUUAUUAUAACAAAAUGAAUUAAUAGAGAUAAAUUAAAAUAUAUCAAAAAAAAUUGCUAAAAUUGCAGCUAAUUAUUUUUUGCAAUUAAGUAUUAUAAAAAAAUAAUUCUUAAAUUGUCUAAUCGGUGAAGAUGGUUGUUUAUAUCAUCAUUUAUUUUUUUAAGUUAUAAAAGUUAGCUUCUUUAUUUGCUUUUUGCCACCUUCACUAUUUAACUUGAAGUUUGCAUCAUCUACUGUUUCAUUUUACAUCUAUCACAUAUUUGUCAGGUUGCCAAUUUGAAUGAAGGCUAAUGCUACAUUUAAGAGAACUAUCUAAAAGUAGUGAAAGAUAAAACAAUAAAGCAUGCAACUAUGUAUUAAAAAAAAUAUUUUCAAACCUUAACAAUACACAUCAACUAGCAUAGAUAAAGGUGCCCAUAUAUGAUGGAGCUAAGAAGAAUUAAUUCCUCAACUUAAAGAAACUAAACUAACAUUUGGUUCCGGAUCAAAAAAAUAAGACGACAAGUAGAAUGGCAUCUUCUAAACUUUUGUAUGAUUUAUCAAUAAGUUCCAAUAAAGAGAACAAGUUAAACAUAAUGGCAAGGUUAGAAAUGGGAUAGUAUAAAAUAUCCUUUAGGCCCCAUGUGAUUUAUUCCUAGCCAAAAUUUAUGUAAUAGUUAUGUGCAAACCGGUUAUAUGCCAAAUACUAAAGCCCUGGUUGCAUGCUUCAUUACAUAAGUCAUGUCACUUCUUUGAACAAUUUGAUUGUUAUUGUCCGAACAAAAAAAGAAAAAUGUUUCUUGAUUUAGCUUCCAUGUUUUGUAAUAAAUAGGCACUACCACCACACUACCCUUAUGCACAACUUUUUCAUCUCCACUAAAAACCUUAACCUGCUCAUCUGUUCAACUAAAGGGAAGCAUGAGUGACAUAGCUCCCACAAAAGCCUACCCUUUAACUCUUCCUGAAGAAUUAAUCUUUGACAUUUUUCUCAAGAGUGAUCCGAAAACAUUGGUUGCAUGCAGAGCUACAAAUCACUACUGGAGGGACAAAUUGAAUGCGAUUCCAUUUUUGCAAGAGACACACUCAAAGUGGAAAGCAAGAGGCCAGUUCAUCUAUCUUCAUUUUACUCUUGGACCUUUCAAUCAAAGGCCUGAUUGGAUCAUGAAGAUGGAUGCUACAACAGGGGAAGCCAUGCAGCUUGCAUUGCCUGUAACAAUAAAUCCUGGAGGUUGGUUUCGAAUAAUUGGCACCGCAAACGGCAAUGUAUGUAUGCGUUUCUCCUCUACAGGUAAAGCACCUCAAAUAUUAAUAUGGAAUCCUGCUGCUAAUACAUUACGCAGUAUACGUGAUCCUACUCAACACUUUUGCACUAUGUGCACAUUCACGUAUGCCUUUCUAUACUAUCCUGGGUCUUCUAAGUAUGCAAUAGUUCAUAUAUUUAAAAGGAAUUUAGGCGAUCAGGAUUCUUGGCUAACCAUGUUUUGUGCUGAAAGCUCCGAUUGGCAAUAUGUUAUUCCUUGUCCCAAGUAUGUAAAGAACUUAGAUCAAAAUUGUGUGACCAGUGAUGGAGUUGCCUUUUGGUUGAGUUGGUCCAUGCAUGACUCAACAUAUCCUUCCUAUAUUGUUUCAUUUUCCAUUGCAAACAAGAGUUUUUUUACUAUACCAAUACCACAUCAUAUAGUGUCACAUGAUCAUCGGCUCUUGAUAUAUCAAGAUUCUCUUUGCAUGGUUUCCAAUAGAGAUACUCGUGAUGGGUAUGAAAUAAAUAUGUUCAGAAUUCUUAAAAAUGGAAUUCACUAUGCAUGGGAAAAGAUUUUCACAUUCACUGGCAUAGGAAGCCUAGAAAACCCUGUUUUGAUUCAUGAAGAAGAACUUAUUUUGUUAAAGAAAACCCACAGAGAGAGAAAUGCACUUAUGCGCCGUCCAGAAACAUCCCAAUUCAUGUUUUUAAGAUUUGAUCCACUAAGUCAACAUAAGAAGAUACUCAAUGCUCCAUUCUAUCUGGGACAUGUACAACUUAUAUCAACGCACGUUUAUUCACAAGGAUGCUUUCCAGUGUGAUCACUUGUGGUUUUAGGCUAGAUGUGUUAGAUGGUACAAUGUGAAGUGUAUUAUUAAAUGUAGCAACUACUAUUUAAAAGACCGUGGCAAGAUCUUAUUUAACUCACAUGUCGCUUAUGAUGCAAAGACAUUAGUGUUUUCCCAGUUUUAAUUAUUUCCAAUGUUAUAUACUAAGUUUAAGUUCAAUGCUAUGUAAUUUAAGUCUUUUUGUGUGUAUUUUAAUAUUCCAAUGAAAUUCUAUUCCAUGAAGUGUAAGUGUGUUGGUUGCCAUUAAGAGUAGUAAAGCUAAAGAGUAGUCUAUAAAAAUUAAGAGCUACUAUUAUAUGUAUUCCGACUAUUAUGCUAGCAUGAACAAAGUAUAUAAUGACUUAAAUUAUUCACUUAUUAAAAUGGAGGUACUAAAAAAAUAGAAAAAAGUGUAUUAUAAAGUCAAAAUUGUGUGAUGGUGAAAACUAUUCUAUUCAAAAUAAAUGGGGUUGUUGCCCCCAGAGCUUUUAUAAAAUCUUUCGGAACAAAAUUAUAUAGAAUAUAAUUAGAAUUCAUUUGGUCAAAACUUUAUACACUAUAUGAAGUAUAUUGUGUUUAAGUCUUAAACUCAUCCGUUUUGACUUCUUUUUUUUUAGCAAAAUUUGUUGAUUAAUGGACUAUUUAUCUUUUCUUCAAGUUGAUUAAAAAAAUGAGCUCUCUUACUAUUUUUCUUCAAUUUCGUUGGACUAAUGCAGUUACUAAAAUAGUCCUUUAUAAAUUAAUUGCUUCAAUAAAACUCAUCAUCAUAAUCAUUAUAAUAAUUAGUUUAUUUAUUUAAUGGUAUUUUAUGUCUCAUUGGUUUUAUUUUAUUUUUUACACAAAAUAUUAUAAUAUUAUUUAACUAUUGCUGUCAUUUUAUUAGUGUAAACUAAUGGAACAUUUUUAUAAUUUACAACUUUUAAAGUUUUAAACUUCCAAACUAGGUUGUAAAUAAUUUUAUUAUAUUUUUUCAUAUAAAUUUUAAAAAUUUUAAUAGUGCUUUUAUAUUUAAUUAAUUUGGUACUAUUUUACGCUGUGUUAGUUUUUGAGUUAAAUUUAAAAAAAAAAUAUUCACAAUACAAUAAGAAUUGUAAUUUUUAGUAUUUAUCGUUCUAACUAAAAAAAUUUAGUUCUUAUUGAAUAAUUGAAUAUUUUAAACCAUGCAGUAUUCGAAAAGUACGAUUUUAAAGCUUUUCAAAAAAAAAUUUGUAUAAAAUUAUGCUUUUAUUAUCAUCUUAGUUACAAACUUAAAAGCAGUUAUUUAUUUAAAUUUUAUUUUUAUAUCAAUAUUUUUUUGUUUUUUCUAUGUUACAAUUUUGGCCCCCCCCCCAGAAAUAUUUUUGAAGUUUUCAUAAUUGCUAGGGCUGGAAUUGAGCCAAGCUGAAAUGAGGUUGAACAGACUGAAGCUCGACUCACACAAAUUGAGAUUGGCUCAAGGCUCAACUCAUUAAUAAUCGAGCCUAUCUCUUAAGGUAAAGGUCGACUCACGCAAAGCUUACGACCUGGCCCAGAUAAAUAGAACAUAAUCUAUACCGUUAUAUCAAUAAAUUAUAACUUAUAUAUUUUUAAAAUAUUUAAAAAUAUCAAUUUCAUAUUGACACCUAUGGAUCAAUUAUAAAUUUUUUAUUUAUAUUAUGCAUCAAAAUUAUAUAUCAAANNNNNNNNNNNNNNNNNNNNNNNNNAAUAUUAAUAUAUAUAUGUGUGUGUGUUUGUGUGUGUAAUUAAAAUUAUAUAUUAAUAUAUGAAUAUAUAUAUACUAUGAAAAGUAGUGUGUGUAAUUAAAGUUAUAUAUUAAUAUAUGAUUAUAUAUACUAUGAAAAGUAGUAGUAUAGAUUAAAAUAUUAAAAUUAUCAUUGAAAUGUUAAAAUUAUCACCGUGUGCCAUCCAUAUUCCAUAUUAUUAUAUAGAUAAAGAAAUUUUCCAAAAACACUUAAUCACCUCUUUGCUAAUUAGCUUUUUGUUAGUGGUGAAAAGAUAAAAAAACUAAUAAUAAUUCUAUUAUCCCUAUGUACAUGCUACCAUCCCAAGAACCUCUAAUGUAGGUAAUGAUGCAACACCUACAAUUUUAGAGAUGCUAUAGUUGCUUGCGCAGUGCAAAAACUCUAAUAUCGAUGCCAUCAUGUCAAUAUACGUAGGAUAGCAACUUGGUUGCAUGCCCAAGCAAUCCUUUCUAUUUGCACAAAUUUUUUGUAUUCUUAGUUAUACCCCUCCUUAUGUUUCUUAAACCAACAUAGAGCAAAUAUGUGGCCAAUCACUAUCGAAAAUCACAACAAAAAAUAUACAAUCAUAACACAUUGAUAAAAUUUAGUUGCUGCCAAGGAGAGCAACCAUACACACUCGAUCCAAACAAACUUCCUUCUAAGAAUACUAUUUCCUGUAACUAUAACCUCACAAAUCAACCUACCUUCAAUGUUUUUUUGUUCAACAAGUAGAUGAAUAAUCAAGUUACCACUCCUUGCAUCUCACAACCAACGCUUCCAAAAGAUCUCAUAUUGGAUAUAAUUUCCAGGUGUGAUCCUGCUACAAUUGGUAGAUGCAGAAUGUUGUCACAUGAAUGGAAAGAAGAACUCACAGGUGAGGCAUUUUUGUGGCGGCAGUACGUAACCUGUUCAACAAGAGAAAAAUCAAUAUUGAUACAAAUUUUCUUUCCUCAUUGGACCGCACAAAACAUCAGAAUAAUUAGGUUAACUCCUACCACAGGUAACAUUUUAUCCAUCCCCUUACUGCCAUACCAACCCAACUAUGGAAACUUUGAUAUCAUUGGAGAACACAACGGGAGCAUAUGUGCUAAAUAUUCAACGUUGGAGCAAAAGGUGGUACUUGUGGUUUGGAACAUGCUAUCCCGAUCAAUGAAACAAAUUCCACAGCUAAAGCAGUUUACUCAUCAUAUGGCAAUCAAUGUGUUUGCAUUUGCAUACCUUCCAAACAGUAUUCAUUAUGUCGUUUGUCAUGCUUUCAAAAAAAACCUUCCUAACAAGUUCCUUUACUAUAGAAUAUAUUCUUCCGCUGAGGCUAAGUGGACAUCGACAUUCGCAUUGGGCGGUGAUAUUGGAAAGAUUGGUCCCAGAUAUGUUGUCUUACAUGGUGAUAUUUUCUGGAUUAAUUUCACUACGGAUGAAUUCCAGGUUGCGAAAAACAUCCUCAUCUUAUCCUUAAAAACACAACAAUUCCAAAUCCUUCCCAUCAGAGAAAGGUACAGAUCUGAUUUCCAAUCACUAAUGAUUUUUGACAAUCAUGUUUGUUUUGCUUCCCACCCGCGACAAGAGGAUAACUAUACUAUAAGUUUGUGGGCUAUUAACAAGACUAAAGAAAACUCCUACACGUGGUCGUCUUUGUUCAAGCUCGGUGGCUUGAGAGUAUAUGAUAAUCCCUUAUUAUUUGUGAGCAAAGAUCUGAUAACGUUAGCGGACGAUAGCAUCCGCACAGGAAGACCUAUAAAUGAGCUAAUUAUGUCAAGCUUUAGAGAAGAGGUUCAGUAUGAAAGGAGAAUUUUGAAAUACAAAAUUUGGGGCCAGGAAGUUGAGCUGAAAUUCAUCACAGAAUAUUGCUAUGGGUUGUUCCCUGUUUAAUGCACUAAAAAAUAAAAUAUUUUGAUUAUUCGUGUCAUCUGUGUUGUUAAAUUCUUGCUAUUUGUAUAUUGUGAUACCACUGGGUAUGUAAGUAUGUAACCAUACAAUGAGAUGUACUAAGGUGCUUAAUAUAUAAGCAUAUUAAACCAAUAAUGAGCUCAUGUUAAAGAAGUCUAAAUUAAAUGACAAAGUUUUACCAAUAUUUAAAAAAUCGAACCGAUCAUCAAACCGAUUUCAUUAUUGAUUCAUUUGUUUAGCGGUUCAACCACUCCAACCGUGGUUCAAUCAAUAUUAAUAUUUUUUAAUCAAAUAAUAUAUAAAAUUAUAAAUGAAUAUAGAAAAAUUUAAUUAUAAUCUAAUACAUAUUUUAAAAAAUAUGCAAAUUAAAGGUACAAGUAACUUAUAAUAAAAAUUUAAUCUGGAUAUAUUAGUAAAGUAAUUAUAAUAGUUUUGACAAUCAACGCUUAAAAUUCAAUUAAUUCAAAAGAAAAUAAAAAAAAUUAUUUUGAAUGUUUUGAAACUUAAUUGAAACCUAAAUUGAAUAUUAAACAAUUAAAACUACUCAUUCAGAUGUUGAGAGAUUGAAUUUAUUUAACUAGACUUCAAUUAAAUUAUAUUGAAAUAAAUUUAAUAUUUUAAUGUUAUAAAUAUUGUGGAAUAAUAUAACCAAAAAAAUAAGUAUAAUNCUUUUGAAAAAACACAAAAUAGUUAUUGAUUAUAUGAUAUUAUAUAAUUAAUAAAAUAAGAAACACUACCACCAAGUUUACUAAAUGUCACGUGAAUAUGUAGUGAAGGAGUCCAUGUGUGGUUAAUAUAGUCAUAUACUCAAUGAACUCCCCAAUAUAUGUACCCACGUCUAGCUAAUCUUCUCAAGAUAGGACAAGUCACAUCAAAUAGUCAAUAAGACAAUUUUCUACCUCCAAAAGUGGAGGGAUCUAUCCAAGACAGAUAGCUUCACACCUUUGGUCUCAAGGUUAGGAUUCUCAAAACUCAUUAAAAAAAUUCGCACAAAGUUAGAUUCAUAGAAAUUUUUUUUUUCCACACUACAUUGCUAAAGUUUCACAUAUCUUUGAACUUGCAGAUUCCUCUAAGGACUAACACAACACUAUUGUGCAUAUUGUUGGAAUACUAUGGAUCUAUACAAUGCAAAGGAAGCAAGGAAACACAGGCAUCUUAUCCUGGCUGAAAAGAGGAGGAGAUUAAGCGAAGACGGGCAAAAAGGUAUCUUAAAUCUUAAUCUGAACUUUUUAUUCAGGUAUAAUCAUCUAUUCAAAAACAUGUCCGACUAAUAUUGAAUUGAUUUGCAGAAAAUCUUUGCCUCCAGAACUGGCCAAAUACUACUACGAAGGGUUCACUUCAUACGCUUCAGGAAAAGUUGACAUCCCUCAAAAGGAAGCCACUCACACCAAACUUCACAGGCAUGUUUUAAUUGUUGUGCUCCAGCUAUGUAACAUUCAAACUAGAAGCCUUUUCAUGUAACUCAAAAAAUGUGGUUUAUAUUUUAGUUUGUAGUACUAAGGCAAGAGGUCAAAUCCAUAGAAAUAAUACAUGAAGUUGCUAUAUUUUUUUAUGAUGUGUCUUGCAAGAGUAGAUGUUAUCAUGUGAAUAGGAAAUAUAACUCAGCAUAUACAAUAAUACAGGACAACAAAGUGAUCCUAUAACUGCACACACAUCACUUGGCAAGACAAUCAGUUCAAACAGAGCAACAGAGCAACAUACUAUCUGUGUAGUUCACAGGCAAAAUAAUGCCACCCCAGGUGAUUCCUUUAUCUACUUAUUGAACCAAAUGAAACUAAAUACCAUUAAAACUUCAGUCAUUCACACAUUUUCAUAUAAUUACCGAACAACGUUCCUUGCAUGCUUUAGUUUUCCGUCCAACUCAUGCUCGGGAACAAUCCGAACAUCUGUCGGAUUCAAUUCAAUGUGUUCAAUGUCUCAACAUGGGAGAACCGCAUCAUGAAACGCAAUCAACCACAACUAACAAUCAUAUUGCUACACCAGCCAUAGUGGAAGAUCGAUCAAUCAGAGCUAAGAAAGGUUUGAUAUCAAGUCAUAAUAGCAAAUAUCAUACGUAUCUGCAUUAUGCGUAGGCUGCAUGAACGCAUGACAAAUCACUUUCAUGAAUUGGAUAAUUCUUUUAUCGCUAAUUAAUUUGGCAUAAUUUUUUGCUCUGUUAGUGUUUUAAUUAAAUUGUCUCUAAAAAAUAUAGUCAAUGUUCAAUAAAUAUAAAAUUUUUUAAUAUUUAUCAUUCUAACUAAGAGAAAUUUAGUUCUGGUGUAAUUGUUGACUAUUUUAAACCAUUCAAGACUCCAACAGUACUAUUUUAAAAUAUUUUAUAAAAUUAUUCAUUUAUUAUCAUCUCAGUGACAAACUCUAAAAGCCUGUUUUCGAAAAUUUUGUUUCUAUAGAAAUAAUACAAUGUAUUUUCUAUGUUAAAGUUUUGCCUUCCUCGAUAAUAUUUUUGAACUUUCGCCACAGUGCAUUAAGGUACCACAUAUUACAGGCAAAAAUUAUCAUUAAUUUUGGUUUUAUAUCAAUUUAAAAACAAAUAAUCUGCUUCUUAAAAAUUACAGCGAGUGCACGACGAAAGUUUACCCAUCCCAUACAAGGACCAAGUAAAAACAUGAGGACAGCUGAAACAGUUCGAGAAGAAGAUGAAGUAGGUGCGUAACUGAAAUUUAUGAAACAAAGUCAUUAUUUUUGGUAUUCAAACAAAACAACGUAUUUGUCGAACCUAACAUCAUACUUUAAAACAAAUAAUCUUCUUCUUAAAAAUUACAGUGAGUGUACGAGGAAAGUUUUUCCAUCGCAUACAAGUACCAAGUCAAAACCUUCAGACAGAUGAAACAGUUGGCGAAGAAGAUGAUGCAGGUGCGUUAAUGAAGUCUAUGGAACAACAUUAUUAUAUUUUAUUGUAUUAAAACAAAAAAAUAUAGUUGUGGAAAAUGACAUGAUAUUUUAAACUAUUAGGUUGCCCAAUUUACAUAGUAUACACAUAUUAGAACCAGAGUUAUGCAAGUUCCUUCAUUACUCUGCAGCUACUUUUUUAGUUAACUUUAUUUAGUUUGUUGUUUUACUAUAAAUCUAUUCAUUCUAACAGUUCCCAUGCUACAUGAUAUACAUGCAAUGGCAGAGCUUAGUGUGCACGAUGGGGGACCAUGGCCCCCAAAGUUUUUAUAGCAUCUUUAGUAAAUAAAUUAUAUAGAAUAUAAUUAGAGUUCAGAUCACAAAAUUUGUGUGCACUGUACUAAGUGUCUUGUGUUGGAGUCUUAAAGUCUUCCAUUUUUACUAUGCUUUUUGUUCAAAUUUGUACAUUCAUCAGCUAUCUAUUCUUUCUCAAAGUUGGUACAUUAAUGGGCUAUCUUACAAUUUUUCUUCAAAUUCGUCGGACUAAUUCACUAACUAAAAUGGUCUCUUAUAAAGUAUUUGAUACAACAAAAUUCAUCUUCAUAAUCAUUAUGAUAGUUACUUUAUUUUUUUAUGCUAUUUUAUUUCUUAUUGGUUUUAUUUUUUUUUACGCAAAAUAUUUAAAUAUUCUUUAACUAUUGGUGUGAUUUUAUUAGCAGUAGACUAAUGGAGAAUUUUCAUAAGUUACAACUUUUACAUUUUUAAUCUUUGAAAAUCAUUUCUCCGUAAUUACAUUUUUUUGUAUCAUCUUUAAGAAAUUGAAUUAUUAUUUUAUCUGUAAUUAAUUUGGUGAUAUUUUUUGCGUUGUUAGUUUUUUAAUCAAAUUGUUUCUAACACAUAUAUUUAAUGUUCAAUAAAUAAUAUCAUUUUUAAUAUUUAUCAUUCUAACUAAAAGAAAUUUUGUUUCGGUUUAAUUAUUGAAUAUUUUAAACCGUUCAAUACUUCAAGAGUACUAUUUUAAAUUAUUUUAUACAAAUAUUCAUUUAUUAUCCUCUUAGUGAAAAACUUGAAAAAGUUGUUGUCGAAAAUUUUGUUUCCGUUUACAUUAAAAUUAUGUAUUUCCUUUGUCAAAGUUUCAGCCUCCUAAAAAAUAUUUUUGAAGUUCUGCCACAGUGUGUUAAGCUACCACAUAAUACAAGUGAAAAUUAUCAUUAUUUUUUGUUUUAUAUUAACUUAAAAAAAAGUAAUUUGCUUCUUAAAAAAUUGCAGCGAGUGCACGAGGGAAGUUUGCCCAUAGCAUACAAGUACCAAGUCAAAACCUUCAGGCAGAUGAAACAGUUCAAGAAGAAGAUACAGCAGGUGUGCACCCAAAAUUUAUGGAACAGCACCAUUAUUUUUGGGUAUUAAAACAAAACAAUGUAUUUGUGGAACUUAAUAUCAUAUUUUAAACUAUGAAGUCACCCAACUGAUAGAAUAUUCAUUAAUUAGAUGCAGGCCAAGCAGAACAACAUUGUGAUGAUGACAAUGAACUUGAAGAGAUCACUGAAGGUAGUAUUGCAUUUAGUCAAUCUGAUUUUUAUACCAAGCCGAAACCGUUAUAACCAUAACAUGUGUUAGCUAUUUUAGAAGUCUCAUAUCUUGACUUUGGCAACCCUGAUUAUCAAUGCCAACAUUGUGGAGCCACAUUCUGGUAUGAAGAACGCCUAAACAAGCACUGUCAUGAGAGAGUUCCAAAAUUUGGCCUCUGUUGUCGUCAAGGGCAGGUGGAAUUACCGGUACUCCAACAACCUCCGGAAAUUCUUCAUCAGUUACUAUCAGGUUGUGAUGAAAAAUCCAUCCACUUUCAGAAGAACACCCGUACAUACAAUAGUAUGUUUGCUUUCACGUCUUUCGGCGGAAAGAUUGACAGAUCCAUUAACCACAGCAAAGGACCGCCAACAUUCCUACUUCAUGGCCAAAACUAUCAUUUGAUGGGUAGUUUGUUACCACAAGAGGGAAGUCCUGCCAAAUUUGCACAACUAUAUAUUUAUGACACACAGAAUGAAAUCAACAAUAGAACUGCUGUUGUUAGGUACCUAACCAUGACAAAGCUACAUUCCAAAAAAAAUGAUUGGAACCUUAAGUGACAAUUUAUAGUUAAUAAUCAUUAUGUUGUUUGAACUGCAGCUCUGAUAACAGCACAGAUCAUCUAGACAAAACCAUUGUGGCUGACCUUAUGAAGAUGCUUGACACCCACAACGUGCUGGCAAAGACAUUCCGAAUGAUGCGCGAAGUUAUGAAAUCCAAUCCAAUUCGCGAUAUUCGACUUAAAUUGAUUGGAAAGCGAGGCAAGGAUGGAAGACGGUAUAAUUUGCCGUCUGUUGAUGAGAUUGCAGGGUUGGUGGUGGGAGAUUUUGAUGCGUCAAUGAAAGAGAGAGAUAUCAUUGUUGAAACGAGAUCAGGAGCACUACAGCGAGUUUCAGAACUAAAUCCAUCAUACUUGGCACUACAAUAUCCUCUGUUGUUUCCAUACGGGGAAGAUGGUUGGCGUGAAAAUAUUCCAUUGAAUAGGCCACAAAAAAAUACAAAUGCUGAAGAUGCAAACAUUAGUAUGCGGGACUUUUUUGCAUUCCGAGUUCAGCACAGACAAUCAUGCAAAGGUGCUUUACUAUAUUCUAGGCGUCUGUUUCAGCAAUUCCUGGUCGAUGCAUUCUCAAUGGUUGAAGCAGCAAGAUUGAAAUACGUCUAUACGAAGCAAAAAAAGCUAAGAGCUGAAAUUUACAAGGGCCUUAGAGAUGCAGUUCUUAAUGGAGAAACAGAAGCAGCCUCGCUAGGCAAACGCGUUGUCCUACCAGCAACCUUUACUGGGGGAGCCAGAUACAUGAUACAAAAUUACCAAGAUGCUAUGGCAAUAUGCAGGUCUAUUGGGUAUCCAGAUUUGUUCAUUACAGUUACCUGCAAUCCUCAAUGGGAAGAGAUUCAACGUUAUUGCAAGGAGAAUAAUCUAAAGCCAGAAGAUAGGCCUGAUACUGUUUGCAGAUUAUUUAAGGCAAAGUUGGACAAGUUGAUUAAGGAUAUUCACAUAAACAAAUUAUUCGGAAAGUCGACUGCAGGUAACAUGCAAGAAAGUUUGUUUAAUCAUAACAACAUUUCAUGCUAUUUAAGUACAGGUUAACUAACAUAUUGCAAAUUGUUUCGUUGCAGUUAUAUACACAAUUGAGUUCCAAAAGCGUGGAUUGCCUCAUGCACACAUAUUAUUGUUUCUCGCUGCUCAAGAUAAGUUUCCUGCUCCUGAAGAUAUUGACAGGAUUAUUUCAGCUGAGAUUCCGGAUCCAACUUUGGACCCAAAAUAUUAUGAAGCAGUAAAGAGUCAAAUGAUGCAUGGUCCAUGUGGUAUUGCUAGAAAAAAUUCGCCUUGCAUGGAUAAUGGACGUUGUUCUCGACAUUUUCCGAAGAAGUUUAUUGAAUUUACGACAGUAGAUCAUGAUGGAUAUCCAGUUUAUAGGCGUCGCAAUGAUGGCCGAACGAUUGACAUUUCUGGAAUUCCUCUAGACAAUCGUUAUGUGGUGCCGCAUAAUCGAUACUUGCUGUUAAAAUAUGGAGCUCAUAUCAAUGUUGAAUGGUGCAAUCAAUCGCGUUCCAUAAAAUAUCUCUUUAAGUAUGUUAACAAGGGAAGUGAUCGAGUGACAGCUUCUUUUUAUUCAAGUUCAAACGACAAUAAUCCCACUGUUAAGCCUGUUGAUGAGAUUAAGUUGUUUUAUGAUUGCCGGUAUAUUUCUCCAUGUGAAUCUGCAUGGAGAAUAUUUGCUUUUAAUAUUCACUAUCGAAAGCCAUCAGUUGAACGAUUGAGCUUCCACUUACCAGAUGAGCAGACAGUGCUCUUUGCAGACGAAGAUGACUUGUCAACUACUAUAAAUAAAGCGACAGUUCGAGAAUCUAUGUUUGUCGCGUGGUUCAAGGCAAAUAAAAAAUACGAGAUUGCAAGACAGCUAACUUACAAUGAGUUCCCAAGUAAAUUUGUUUGGAAGCGCAAUGCCAGGAUAUGGGAACCAAGGAAAAGAAAUGCUGUUAUUGGAAGGCUCUUUUUUGUCCCUCCAACAUCUGGAGAAUUAUACUAUCUUAGAAUGUUGUUAAACAUUGUUCAGGGUCCAACAAGUUAUAAAGAUCUUAGAACAUACAGGGAUAUUGUGUACUCAUCAUUUAGAGAUGCAUGCUAUGCAAGAGGCUUAUUAGAUGAUGAUCAAGAAUACAUCGAUGCCAUUGAAGAAGCAAGCCAUUGGGGAUCUGGUCAUUAUUUACGGAAGCUUUUUGCAACUCUAUUAUGGUCAAACUCAAUGGUUCGGCCAGAAGUCGUAUGGAGCAAGUGCUGGACUUUGCUAGCUGAUGGAAUUCUUCACAAUCACAUGAACAUGUUUCAAUUACAAGGUUUUGUCUUAAACUAUUAUUAAUCAUGAAACAUGUUAUAUCUUGCUUGCAUCUCAAUCACCAACAUUGAUUACGAAUUACUUAAAUAUAUAUUAUCAUUAUUUGAGUUUUCUGGGAAUAUUACCAUGCUUAUUUGUACAAUAGUCUAUAAUACUAUAUCAUAUGGUAUCUAACUUUAUAGUUCAUUAUAUACAAUACAGAUAUGGUUUUGACAGAUGACGAGUUAUCUCAGUUGACUUUACUUGAGAUAGAAGAAAAUCUUAAUCACAAUGGCAAAUCAUUGCGAGAUUUCCCAACAAUGCCAUUUCCCAAUAUCAAGAUAACUCAAUCUGUAAGAGAAGGUGCCUCCCGGAACAAACUAAUCAUGGAUGAGCUUCGUUAUGAUCGACGUUCAUUGGCUCAGCAAUAUGAAAAUUACUUACUACAAAUGACGACAGAGCAAAGACAUGUGCAUGAUCAGAUCAUUAACGCAGUUAACUCGAAUUGUGGCCAAUUAUUUUUCUUAUAUGGACAUGGUGGCACUGGGAAGACAUUCAUUUGGAAAACUCUUGCAGCUGGACUUAGAUCAAAAGGUGAAAUUGUGUUAGCAGUGGCUUCAAGUGGUAUUGCAUCUCUUUUAUUGCCUGGAGGCAGAACAGCNNNNNNNNNNNNNNNNNNNNNNNNNNNNNNNNNNNNNNNNNNNNNNNNNNNNNNNNNNNNNNNNNNNNNNNNNNNNNNNNNNNNNNNNNNNNNNNNNNNNNNNNNNNNNNNNNNNNNNNNNNNNNNNNNNNNNNNNNNNNNNNNNNNNNNNNNNNNNNNNNNNNNNNNNNNNNNNNNNNNNNNNNNNNNNNNNNNNNNNNNNNNNNNNNNNNNNNNNNNNNNNNNNNNNNNNNNNNNNNNNNNNNNNNNNNNNNNNNNNNNNNNNNNNNNNNNNNNNNNNNNNNNNNNNNNNNNNNNNNNNNNNNNNNNNNNNNNNNNNNNNNNNNNNNNNNNNNNNNNNNNNNNNNNNNNNNNNNNNNNNNNNNNNNNNNNNNNNNNNNNNNNNNNNNNNNNNNNNNNNNNNNNNNNNNNNNNNNNNNNNNNNNNNNNNNNNNNNNNNNNNNNNNNNNNNNNNNNNNNNNNNNNNNNNNNNNNNNNNNNNNNNNNNNNNNNNNNNNNNNNNNNNNNNNNNNNNNNNNNNNNNNNNNNNNNNNNNNNNNNNNNNNNNNNNNNNNNNNNNNNNNNNNNNNNNNNNNNNNNNNNNNNNNNNNNNNNNNNNNNNNNNNNNNNNNNNNNNGCAGGACUUUGUAAUGGCACAAGAUUAGUCAUCACUAAAUUAGGAGAAAAGAUUAUUCAAGCAGAGGUGUUAUCAGGAGACAACGCUGGUGACAAAGUUCUCAUUCCUAGGAUGACUUUGACUCCCUCUGAUGUAAGAUUACCCUUUAAAUUUCAACGGAGACAAUACCCACUGAUACUGUCCUACGCCAUGACUAUUAAUAAAAGUCAAGGACAAUCUUUAAAUCAGGUUGGAUUGCUUCUUAAACACCCUGUCUUCACACAUGGGCAGCUUUAUGUUGCCGUCUCGCGCGUCACAAGUAAAAAUGGUUUGAAGAUUGUGAUCUCACAUGAUGAUUCAAACAACUCAACUGAAACAAGGAAUGUGGUUUAUUACGAAGUCUUUAGGAACAUUUCAUCUCAUUCUGAAAAUGCAUACUCUAUUGACUAAAUAAUCAGGUAACAUCAAACCUUCCAGAUUACCAUAUUACAACUAUCGUAUUCAAAUUUACAAUCCCAUUUCUAUAUAUGUCUUUCUAUAUCUAUAUUGUUAUCUUAGGUCAACUACAUCUAAUAUUUUCUUCUAUCGAUAAUAACAAUUAGCCCUUAAUCCUACAUUCUAUAAAGCUAUCUUCAUAACUUCACCAAUAAUUUACGAAAGUAAUUGCAUAUAAAAAUUGUCACUUUUCAUGUAUCCUCUGUUUUUGACAUUUCUAACAAAAAAAAAAGUAACCUUUCUCAACAUGCUAAAAACUCAUUGUUGAUAUCAUUUCAGGGGAUGGCCUGUUUACACAACUUCAGAAGUUCAUUUUGAGCAAACCAUGUAUGAUCUCUAUGUCUAUAAAUAUAUUUAUCAUUUUUAAUAUUAGGUUCCAUAUAAUGGAUUCAUUAUACCUUUGGAAUCACUUGCAAAAACAACUCAUCCAACCAACUUCUUUCACAAAUAUUCAUGACAAAUAUGAAAUGCGUCGAUAAUUGAUCAAACACUAACACGCACACAAAUAUUUUCUUAUCAUAAAUUGUGUCUAUUAAUACAGCCAUAACGACAAACUCAUUGUAUAAAUAAUUCCCAAUUAUGACCUACACAUAUUGUCUAAUCUAUUACUCCAUUAUAAUUAUAUGGCAUUAAUGCUUUGCAAUGUACUACAUCGCAAGCUUAUCAUCUUCAAAUUAACCCUAAUAAAUAUUAAAAUUAAGUUUCAAACUUUGUUAUUCAUACUCACACAUGUCGAUACAAAUUUUGCCAAUACGAAGCAUUACUUCUUCCAUGUUUACCGCGCGGAGGCGCGGGUGGACAGCUAGUNCAUGUCGAUACAAAUUUUGCCAAUACGAAGCAUUACUUCUUCCAUGUUUACCGCGCGGAGGCGCGGGUGGACAGCUAGUAUGUAUAAUAGUCCCACAGUGGCACAUCGGUAGAGAGAAAACGAGGGUUGAUAUGAAUGAUAAUCAUCGGUAUAAGGGCUCGUAUAUCUGCAUCUUUGUGACCAGAGCGUGAUUAAUAGUGUAACGAUUAGUUCUUGUAUUAACACAAUUAUCCAAAAAUACAUGUAAUUAUUGAUAUUGAUUAUUAGAUAUGACUCAGAGAAAAGGGAGUGCCAUUUUAUGAAAAGGACUAAGAGUCAAAAUCAGUGUGUUUUUUUUAACAAACUAUGCACACAGGGUAUGAAUAAAUAAAAUGUCGUGGAUUUAGAUGAGAAUUAAAACUGAAAACUAAUCGAUUGCUAAUUUCAUGCUGUUGUUCACUUCAUUGAGCAUCAAUGCUGUUCCCUAACCAUACUUCUCUGUGCCCAAGUUAUUUGAGACUUGAGAACUAAACACAUGUACAUAUCAGACAUAGUGUUAGAGAGAAGCAUCGGCAGGGUUCAACACACAUUUUUAAUUUGCGCAUGCAUUUUAAUCAGGCAACAAACAGAAUUACGGAGAAACAAAAUCUUGCCUUGCCUGUAUCUAAUGUGGUUAAAUUUUAAGAUUUUCUGAAUUUCGAAAGAGUAAGCUUAGUCUUACAUUGGCAGCAUUCACCUUCCAGAAGUAGGUUUUAUAGCUAAACCCACAAGCAAUGGGCACGACCUUACUUGAACAGGAUCUGUUCUAUAGGCUCGUACAGCUGUAUCCUUGAGUUCUUAAGGAGACAGGAACCAAAGUCUGGUGGAUGAACAAUGACCGUGAGAUCAGAGCGUGAUUAAUACUUCAGUUGCGUGCCAGCUGGAUGUUGGAGGAUCGUACUUGCCAUGACCUUGUGGUCAAGAUGGUCUCACGGUGUUCUGACAGACCCAAAAUUUCUUUUUUUAUAUUUUUUCGACAAAGCAGAGACAGUGUCGUUCAAUAAUUCCGCCAUCCAUUGACAAUAAGAUGUAGAGCCAGGUAAAAAAUUAAAAAUAAAAGCAGAUGUCGUUGCAUUCUGCCAUGGAAACUUUGCAUAAUGAAGUAGAACGGGGACCAAAAAAAUUUGGACCAUUUCUCGAUUUGUGCGUGUCAUCCUUGCGCAGGGGCCAUGCUAAUCUUCUCUGUAUCGUUCCAAUUUUAUCGGAUGUCCCCGAAGGGACGAGCCCCUUUGUCUGCCUCUGAUAUAUAAAUUAUUGGUUUCUUAAAAUUCGGGCGAUGUGAGACUUGUUUGCCACUGAGAGCAGCUGAAGAAUAUCAACGAGUUCUCAACCUCUCUUUAUGGAAAAUGAAGGAGGGGAUACAACUAGUUGUCUGAUUUCUGUGUUUUCAUUUUGGUGGUUCUGCCUUGUUGGUUGUUGCAUGCAUAGCCAUUUCAGGUUAUCCUUCUUUUAUUCCUACUGCUCUCAAUUUUCUAUGAAUGAACAAGACAAAUUAGUAGCUAGAGAUGAAUGGAAUGAAAAGACUAUAAUCAACAGAAAUUGUUCUCCAAUAACUAACAUAAGGAACUUCAAAUUAUCUUAUAAAUAUAAUGAAACCUGAAAAUUUUCACAUAAUAAAACAAUCAAUUUAUUUACGAAUGUACACCACUGCCAAUGUGUCUCACCAGGAACAAUCAAGAUCUGACUCAUGCUAUAAAGUGCUUAAUUUGUUACUAGACUAAAAACGUUAAACCGUUUUAUGGGACAAUAAGUCAUAAGAGUCACAGACGAAGAUCAAAACAGUCAUCAUAAUAAUAAUCGAAUGCAACAUAAAACAAUUUGAAGGUCUUUAUUCUUAUUUUUUUAUUUUCUCUUACGAUCUUUUUAUUAUACUUUUUUGUUUUUUGUGCGGUGCUGUUCUUACACAUUUUGGUUUACUGUUUUGGUACUUUUACCGUCUGUUAUGUCUAUUUUUGUUUUUUUAUUUACUCUUAUUGUCAUGCUAUUUUCUUUUAAUUUCUUUUUUAUUUUGGGUUGUCUUGUUUUAUAUUUUAUUUUCUAUUGUCUAAGGUACUUCUUUUGGUAAUUUGGUACGAGGUACUUUAGAUGGUCUAAGUAAGUUGGUGGUGUAUUUGGAAAUGUAAUCUUCACUGGGACUUUGAGCAUUUUAGAUCUCUCUAUCUCUCUCUUAUGUCAUUAGGAUUCUCUUUUUGUUCUUCCAUCUCCCAUUGGCACUAGAAUUCUAUCUCUCAAAUCUUUAAUACGGUUUAAUAAUAUAAAAUAUCAUCGAUCAAAAUCAUUAAUUUAUUUUACACAUUUUUUCCUAAUUUAAUAAACUUUUUAACUGUUUAUACAAUUAUGAAAUUGGAUAAUGUAAUAACUUCUAUUUCAAAAAUGUCAACAUUUAACAAUACGUAAUGAGUUAUCAUGUAAUAUUAAAUCCUUUUAUUUUGUAAUAAAUAUUAAAUAGUUGGAAUUGAUAAAUAUGUUAUAAAUUACUUAUCACAAUAAAUAAAAUAAAUAAAUUAUUGUAAUAUAUAACAGAAAGUGGAGACAUCAAAUUUGAUCAAUCUAAUGUUGACACAAAGUACCAUAUCAUACUACGUCCAUGUUCAAACGAUUUCAUUUUAUUCCGUUUCUCCAUACAAAAACAUCGAUGCUAAAACUGAUCUACAAGUUAUAUAAAAAAUACGAAGGCCAGAGUGAUUCACGGGAUCUUGAAAGUGCUAAGGUAGUAGAAUAAAUGAAAACUCUUCCAUUUUGGGAUGGUGGAGGAUGCUAUUUUACAAUUUGCAUCAACCAGGUCAUUCUUUAACCUUUUGGAACGCAGAACACUAACAUGAUUUGUAUCAAGAGGAAUCAUCAAAUUAGACAUCACCGGAAUCUUCUGAAUCUGAAACAUCACCAGAAUCAAUCAUCCUCUCAAGUGCAUCCAUACUGCCAUGAUCAGAGACGGUAUGUAUCCGGAGUUUAUCGGCAUCUUCACUGAGAAAAGAAAGGAAAACCAAGGAACAAUAUUAGAUCAUAUUUAAUAGGUGUUUCGAGUUCAAUUUUAUUACACAGUCCUGUGUGCAUGGAAAAAUGCUGAAAUAGAUUUAUGCAAAAUGCUGAUAGAAAUACCAAGUUCACUAAGAAACAUUUAAGAUAAAAAAGAAAAAGAAAAAGAAAAAAAAGUAAUAAGCAUGGUUUUAAUUUGCAGUCUACAACCGCAAUGCAAUGCCAACUGCAUCCCAUUGCAGCGGCGAUUGUGGCUGUUUCACAUAUGUUUUCGCCCAAUUUUCCACAAUGCAGUCCAACCACAAUUUACAACCGCAGUUAGAAGUAAUAUGUUAUACAAUGGCUCUUCGCACUUUGUAAUUCAAGUUAUGACGUAAAAGACCCGUAACAUUUAAGCAUGUAAAACAUACUCUGUAACUCCGAAGAUUUCCUUGACGACUAAGGAACUAUCUCUUGAACAGAACUCCGGCAGCUGGAACGAAUAACAAAACUAAUUCAAUAAACUCAUAACCCAACAAAACAUACAAAAUUACAAGUAUGAAUAUUAGAUAUUAUGUAAUAAAGUAUUAGAAAACUUCAGAUAAACAAUUACAUUAUCCUCAAGUUGAAAUUUGACGAUAUAUACCCAAGAAUAUUUACAUAGCCAGAAAAUUUCGACUCAAUUUCGCUAGAAGUUGUCAAUAAUAAGGAUUUCUUGUUGAAUAAAUCAAAGGGGAGGAGGAGACCACUCAUCCAUCUAAUAGUCAUUAACAAUGCAAACUCAUUCUUGCUAAAAUUCUAUGACUAGAGUUUGGCCAAUCUAAAUAGAAGAUAAUGAGUCAACACCAGCAGGUUGAAAAUGAAGACUCUGAAAGAUACAACCUCUUCUUUAUCAACCUUUACUUAUUGGGCUAUCCUGACAUCUAUGAUAUCUACUCUUUUCUCCUAGACUCUUUUAGGUACCUAUAUCUGGCAACUUUAAAGCUACUCUACUGCACAAAACCACUUCCUUGUAUGACAGUUUGCAUGUCAUGUGUAUUAUAAGUUUACAACAAAAACUAAUGAGCAGAAUAAUCAAAUAGAGGAAUUUAUAAAGAGCCAAAUUUAAUAUAUAUAUAUUACUGAACAAUCGUAAUUAAACCUCAGUAUUAUCGGGACCUAAUAAUUGUUGAACAAGUAAUUGUUCAUCAUUAUUUAUUUGUGAUCUCUCUUUUUUCUGGUUCUUAACCCUAAAUAACUGAAUAUAUAAAUCUUAAACAUAGAUUAUCGAAGGAAUUGUUUACAUUUUUUCAUGAUUGGUUUCCUUAUUCAGUUACAACUAGGACUUUGGUAUUGGUAUUGGUAUUAGUAUAUAUGGGGUAAGUGCUUUUUAUUUUGUAUCUGAUCAGAGAUCACCAUCAAUAAUUCAAUAUAAAUUGAGAACAUCAUUUUGAGUGUCUAUCCUCUCUUUCCUUCUUCCCCACCUCAACCCUUAACUUUAAGGUCAUGGAACCAAUGUAAAGGUCAGUACCCAAUAGUACAAGGGAACAUUGGCACUGAACACUAAUCACAUUUUGUGCACAGCAAACUAAAUUUGUAUCAAAUUGACUGUGCAGACUUACCUCAGAUAGAUAGAAGACCUUUCCAAAGAGGGCUUGUACUGCUAAUUUUCUCUUGAAACCCCUUUCAGUAUAGCCUGCUUUCUCCAUCACAACAGGACCUAAAAAUAAUUCAAAUGUAAUGUAAGUAGAGAACAGAUAUAAUGAUGUCCUAACAUAGAACAAUGUAAUUUAGUAAAAAAUGGGCAUAAACGAAUGAUGUUAUGCCAUAAAUGAUAUGAAAUAAGGAGAAGUUAGGGACACCACUUCUCUCUCUCAAAAUAAGUAUCUGUUUUUUCUGACUUUCAAGGUUGCUAUUAUUUCAAAGCAUGUAAGAUUUGAAUACAAAUUUAACAGUAGUGGCAAACCUGUUUCAGAAGAAAACAAGGGUAUGUUUAAAACCCAAAUAUUCUACUUACUGAAAAACAGAAAUGUGGAUUAUAGAAUUGUAACUUCAUAUUAAUAUUGUUUUCAAAUUUGAAGUCCAGCUCAUGCUUCAAAGAACCAGAUAGCAAGGUUAUAAUAAAGGAUGAGAAAUGGAAUACUAAAGCCACUACAAGUCUACAACUAAUUAUCAAAACAUAGUUGCACUAAAGAAUCACUUCAUAGAACCAAAUUGUGGUAUGUUGAACACCCAUAAAAAUUAAUAAAAGUGAACUUAAACUGCAGAUAGGUUUGACUAAGCAGGACUAGAGCUAGGCCUACCUCAGUUAGGCACAAUAGAAAGUGAUCCUUUUUUCAUGAGUCAAGCUUGGCUCACUCCAAGCUUACAAUUUACUUGAGCUCAAUCAACCAAGUUUCACCAAUUUAGACCUCUAGGCUCAAUGACUUGAGCUCGUUAAACAUGAUCCUAGUUGAUUGAAGAACCGAUCAUGAGGCAAGCUCUGAGCAACUACAAGCCACUUGAACUCAUUGCAAACCCCAGAUACAGUAGACUCAUGCAAAAAUUCAUUUUGGUUUUCAAUUAACCAUCAACCAGAUUAAGUGCAGCCAAAUGCUCAGUGAAUUAAUUUUAUUAAGAAUAGUGAUGGAAUUUCUGGCCAAGAGGAAAGCUUAUUUAUAUAUCUAGGGAUGUGUAUAAUAUUUUACUCAAAAAUCAGUCAAGUAAUUCCUAUUAAAAGAUAUUCAAAUCUAUGAUAUAUAAAUUAUCUUCAGCAACAAAAAAAAUUAUAAUUUUAUUCAAUAAUGUUUAUUAAGUUAAUGUUUAUGCAGGAGGAUAAUAGGAAAAUGGGCUGGUGAGGAAUUGGCCAAGGUUACGUGAGUUUAUGCAAGGAGAAAGAAAGAUGCAUCAAGGGAUAAAGAGGGAAAUGAAAUGCAUAAAGCAGUGGAUACCAUGGCAGUUUGGGAGACGGAGAGUGACUGAAUAAACAUGCAGCAGAAAGCAAGAGAUUAAAUAAUGAUGGAGGUGAAAGCAGUGUCAAAGCAGAUCUGGAACUCAAUUGGGUGACUUAAGCCAUAAUGAGUAAGCGAGAGUAAUGCAAGGAACAACGGAAGGCUUAUGUGGUCAACUAGUUAAUGAAACUUAUAAACUAAUGGCCAGAACCAGUUUCAACAAGUAAUUUGGCAGAAGGCCAGUCAUACCUUACGGCAAACAAAUCAAAGGGAAAUUCACACAAUAUCAAAUAAAAUUUCUCCGAAUUAUUUUAUGAGCUAGUUACCUAAACAUCUUACAAGUAACAUCUAAAUGUCAAAAAGCCCAGAAGGUAAUUAAGAAUUUUAAUUUAUGUUUUUGCACUUCCAGCAUUCAAAAUCUUUCGAAUUAAGCCACCAGAAUCAUGCUACCAGUGAGUGGUUUUGCUAGUUUAAACUUUAAAGGUCAAACACUCAUAGGUUCAAGAUAUUUUACAUCCACUAUACUAAAACACAAUACCAUUGGAUUUUGGAAUAAUGUAUAUCCAUGCUACCAAGCACUAAGACUACUCAAAAAAAUAUUGUCAAAUGUUGAGAAUGUAUUACCUUUAUCUCGCACAAUUCGUCGUGAAAUUUCAUUUAGAAUCUCAGCAACUUGUGAAUCAUUUAACAUAGAAGCACUCCUUAACUGAAUUAAAUCAGCCACCAUGUCAGGGUUGAAUGGUUUUUCAUUCAAAGCAUACCGGAUAUACUUGCGCAAAAUUUCUUCCAGAUCAAAACCUGUCUGAAUACAAAUUCACAGUUGUUACAUUAACUCAAAUGAUACAUAUACACUAGCACAUAUAUCAUGGGAAACCAGUAAACAAAAAAUUGGUUCAAAAUGUUUCCCAUCAAGAAAACAGAAUUCCAAAUAUUCCUUGAUUCACAAAGAUUUAAUAUCCUUUAGUUAGAGAAACUGCAAACCUAACAGUUAACUCAUUUACUCUAUACCAUAUAAGAAAAUGUUUCUCCUAAUACCCUUUUCUGCUUAACAAGUUAAACAUCAAAGCAUCAUAAAAUUCUAUAUUUUCCCCCAUAAUAGUCUUUUCUAAAUGACAAGUUUUGGUACAUUUUCUUCCACAUGAUUCUUCUUAUUUUGUAAAGCAAAAAAAUGAUACCAACUGUAGUGUAGCACAUAUUCUAGGCACAUAUGAAGACAUGACACUGCCACAAAAACACACCAAAAUCUAGAAUAAAUAGUAGAAUAGACUAGCAUUGUGGGUAUGUGAUAUGUCAACUUUACAAUUUAACAUGUCAAGUCAACCACACUUCAUCUGCGAAGCAAAUCCAAAGAUAACAUGAUUAUUCAAAAUUUCAAUAAGCAGUAAUUACUCAUUGUUAUAGCUUACCAAAAUCCCAAGUUUUAGUAAGUCAACCAAUUAUUNNAUGAAAGUACCACUAUAACAGUCUUAAGCAUGAUGAUUCCCUAUAAGUAUCUCACCUUACUCUCAAGUUCCUUGAGUGCAACAAUGUUGACUUGAUCUCUUCCUUUCUGAAAUAACUCAUCAAGUGACUUGCAUAGUGUUGCAUUUUUCCCAACCUGAAACGGAAGUAGAUAUAUAAUUACCAAAUUGCCAACAAACAAUGAUACUUCUAAGCAAAGAGAUGAAGUAAAAUAGAGCUUAAGAGAAAUGAAAAGGUUAGUAAGCAAAUAGAUUCUUUUCAAUUCUAUUAAAUCUUCGUGUCUUGUUAAUAGAAACAACAAUAAAGUGGAAAAAUAACCCUACUCCUAUGCCUCCAUUCCACUCUCUCAAUCCCCAUUUCACUGCACUCAGUUAUAUACCAUCAAUUCAAUCCUAGAUUGGGGACUCACCCAUAAGUAACAAGGAAUUCACGUUGACGAAUGGUGAACCACGAGAAGUGAAUCGUCAACGCGAAUUCCACUUGGUUGGAGCAGAGAAUAAAUGAAAGGAGAAAAGCAAAGGACAAACCAGUCUGCGGCGUUUGGCCUUGGGAGAAGUGAACCUCUUAACGGUCUUAACAAAAGCAAUGACAAAAGUGAUGCCGGCGUAGGCAAGGGGAACGGCGAGGAUCCAAGGCAGUGAUGUGGGGCCCACACGCGGACCAGGCAAGGCUUGCGUAACGGACCCGGUGAACUCCACGAGGUCGAGCGCCUUCUCCUGAAUCCACGGCAGUUCUUCCUCUACUUCCACCUCCUCGACCUCCUCCUCCUUCUUCUUGCCUCCCUCCUUCGGGGCAUUCGACGCCGACGCCGAUGCCGCUGAAGAGAACAAGAAUCGUUGGCGGUUGAGUCUAGCAGAUGGGGAAGGCAAAGAAGAAAUAGACGUAGAAGUAGUGGGGAAGGGAUUGUUGGGAGUGGGUGGGAGAAGAAGCUUGGAAGCGGAGAGAGAACAAGAAGUGAAAACCAUUGCUGGUUCGGUUCAGUUGCCGGCCAAGCUUACUGGUUUUCACUAUUCAGUUUGCAGUGCUUGUUUCGGCUUGCAUUUAACAGAGACGGAGGGGUUUCUGAUAAAUUUUAGGGGAAGCACACUUAAACCCUUUGCAAAUCAUUUGCCCACACAAUUUUGACAUCUCAUUAGCUCAUGACUAAAAGUAUGGAUUUAGUAGCUGACUUUAGUUUUGAUUUAUUAUAGUCUAAUUUUUUUUUUGUACGGGUUGAGAGUCAUUGGAUAAUAAUUUAGUCAAACAUGUCAGAUCGAUUUUUAACUAGUAAUUUCAUAUAAAAAUAACUGAUGUUUUAAACUUAGUUUUUACUCUUUAUGGAAAAAAAUAAAAGUGUUAGCUUUCAACUUGUAAUAAAGAUGAAUAUAGUUAAAAAUAUAGUUAUGGCAUUUGUCAAAUUUAUAGAAUUAAUACUCAAAUAUGUUUUUAAGAUAUAUUUCAUUUUUCAAAUUAGUUUAUAAAAAAAAUUGUUAAUCAUAUUAGUCUCUAAAAAAAGAUAUAAUCAUAAGUUAAACUAAUCAUUUUGUCCAUUAAAUGAUAACGUGUCAUGUUAAUUAUCACAAGUCAAUGUAUCACAAAAUGUUUGGUAGAUGUGUUCAUGAUUAUAUAAGUGGUAGUCUGGUAGACCGAUUAUUUUAAUUUGCAUGUAGAAUCCCACUUUUCUAAUUUGCAUCUGCUGAAUUAAUUUGUAGCAACAUAAAGAUAACUUGAUGAUCAAGUAACUAGAAAUAAUACAAAAUCAAUUAUGUGUACAAGACUUUAAAAUUGUAGUAUUACAAAAGAAUCAGAAAGAACAAAGAGUCCCGUGUAUAUAUCCUAUACAAACUCUGUAUGAAGAAUCAAAGAAUGAAUCUGUUGUCAUGUAUACUACUAUUUUACAAUUUUACCUUAGUCUGCUCCUAUCACUCUAACAGAAAUCUACAUUGUCUCGGAUACUAAUCAGUAUAUUUCUUCAUCAAAAAUGGAACUUAGGAACGAGAGCGCGACCGGGAUCCAUUGCACAUGCACUCCGGGACAGGAUACUUGGUGACAUCCCGGCCGGCCUUGCUAGUCCUGAGUUCCGGCUGCCCUAACGAGUCCUGAUGCAAUCCCUUGACAAUCUUGUUGAACUCGGCUUCCGGAAGGGAAGAAUUCAGAAAAUAAGGUAGCAUUUGUCUCUUGUUUGGAGUUAUAUAUUUCUUGUGCCCUGCAUAGGCUCUGUGACCCUGAAAACAUUUAACAACAAAGUUUAGAACCUAGAAUUUGCAAAGUGACACAAACUAUGUUUCGACUUGUUAUUAUACCUGAAUUGCAUGGCCCAUGUUUCCUCCAUGAGACGGCAUGAAAACGUCGCUCUUCUCGCAGACGAUGUAAUCUAUUGCAGCCAUUAGAGAAGCUUUGUUCUUGAAAGGUUCUAGUUCGCCCGGCAAGGCAAGAUCUGCCUUGCUGUAAAAAUGUUGAAACUCAUUGAUUAAUGGAUACAAGGCUUCUUUUCCACCCAAUGGUUCUCCUCCAGCCCAAUAAAUUCUAGUAUUUUUCGGAGCACCUAGAGCUUUAAGCAACCUAUAGAAAGAAGAAAGAAUUAGAAAAUGAUGUUAUGGUGAUUCUUAGAAGAGCAUACAGAUUGUGUAAAUUUGUAAUGUAUCUACCUGGUAACCUCUACAGCAUUCAAAGGGCAUAGGCCAGCUAGCUUCCUUUCAUGGUAAGUCAUAUUUGAUCUUGCUGUCAAGAGCUUCGGCCGUUGAAUCCGCUCAUUAUUUACAAUCUCAUCAUACUUAGGACUCAGACCAGGUAGACAACCAGUCCUCACCCAAACAUCCUUCUCCAUCCGAAGAUGAAGCGCAAGGUACGGUCCCUUGCUCUUCAUUCUCUCUGCAAUCUUGUUACCGAGUUCCUGGACUGGCUUUGCGAAUCUUAAUGCAUUAAAAGCAACCUGAAAGGAAAGGUGGAAGGAACAUUUAGAAUCUGCAAUUUGUUUUGUUUUCCAAUGAACAAAUAGACUUUGCAAUACCUUGCAUCGAAGCUUCUGAAGAUCAGAAGGAAGAUCCUUUGACAGCCUUGAAUCCAAGCCACGAAGAAGUAACACGCCUUCUCUGUUGAGCUGCACAAGACAACAAUCAUUCAAUCCAUGUCAAGAUAACCAUCAACACAUAACAUGUUGCAUUUAUUCACAUUGGACACAUUGAUUAACUUUGUUCAAAGAAAAGUAUAUGUGAAGAACAUUGCAAGUUGCAACUCUUACCCUUUUGAGAUAGCGUGCGCGAAUCCAACUAGGAGUGACAUGAAGGGGAGGGCUCCCCUCCACUGGCUUUGUCAUCAGGUGUGUCGAUGGCAAGGCCGAAACCACAUGCACAUCAUUGGCCAGAACUCUCUUGAAGUGCUCCAAGUCAAAUAUAUCAGCAAAUUCACUGCAACCAAAAUAAACACACAAACAAGGAAACACCAUUAGUUAAAGAAAACUCUCUUCUAACAUUGGCAAAUAAGAAGUAAAUCAAAUCGAAUCGAAUAAAGUCAAAAUUAAGCUCAAUACUCAGACCAGAUUAAAUAGAUGAAGCUAGCUAUCAAUAUUCAAUCUAACCAGUGAACUCAUAUAAAGAUCUAACACCUUGUUAUUUCUAUGCAUAGUACCAUUUUUAAUACUCAUUCAAAUUGUAGAAAACUGGUACCAAAGAGUAAACAGAACUAAUGAAUUAUGAAAAAUGAUUGUUUUACCUUUCAUCACCCCAAAUGACAUUGACCUGCAAAAUAGGAACAACCAAAGAAGCACCAAGGAUUCUAGCAAUGACAACAGCAUCAACAAUCUGGUUCCUCUGCUGAUUCAUCCCACCAGAAACCACAACCAUUAGAUACUUCCUUCUCUCCUUCACAACACCUUCACUUGCCAUUCUAUAAUCCCUACUGAAUUCCAAGCAUGGCUUGUACCCUAACCCAUUUGGUUGCUUCCAAAACUCACUCUUCUCAACAACCUCUUCACCAUCAACAUUAGACCCUCUUGCUUGUAACUGCACAUUAGAAACCAUAGUAUGUGACUGAGACAAAGAAUUAGUAGCAGCAUUAAAGACCCCUUCUUUCUCAGCAUUAUGAACUGAUUCAUCAACCUUUGAAACAGCUCCAAGUUUUGAUUUUGAUUGCAAUUUGGAGUGUUGGUGUUGUUGUGGCAGAGAAAUGGAACAUGGGUAAGGGGAAAAGGGGAUGUCAACGUCGAAUCCGAACUUGAUCAUGCCGAAUAAGCCAAUGAAGAAGAGUGUGGAGAAGAAGAGUCUUGGGCUGGUGAAGUUGAAGUUGAAGAACUUGUUCAUGGAGGUUGGUCUUGAAGAAGAUUUCUUGGGGGAUUCAAGGAGAGAUUGCAAUGAAGAUGAUGAAAUGGAGUUUAUGAUCUGAGAUGGAACGGAGAUGUAGGAUAACUUCUUGGCUUUGUUCUUGGACUUGGCCAUUGUUGAAAGAAACUUGCUUCUUCUUGUUUUCUUCUUGUUGAAUGGUUCUGUUUUAUUCCAAAGAGACCAAUUGAGUUGUGUUUGUAGAAAAAUAAAGGGCGGCGGGAGGGAGAGUCUUUUAAGCUUUUGAGUGUGUGAUUAAUAUAUGUGGACUUGAACGCGUUUAUAAUCAAAUAGGGACAGCUCAAACUCUCGGUUUGGUGGGACUUUGGAAACUCAUGCUUUUUUUUGUGUGUGUGUGAUUAAUAUAUAAUGGAAAAGUAGAGGUUUAACAAGAGAAUAUUAAACAAUGUAAAUAAUAAAUAUGUCAUAUAUUUAAUUUAAUAGAUAUAUAGAUAAUUAUGUUUAUUAUUUUUAAUUAGAUAAUUAUUUUUUUUGAUUUAAUUUAUUUNNNNNNNNNNNNAAACCGAUAUAUAAUAUAUGGAGCAUGAUGAUUAAUUGACUUUUGGUUACUCGUUUUGUAAGUGGGAUUUCUUUAACGUGUUGUUUAUUUAUUUAUUACAUCUUGCAUUUUCCGUGUCUCUACUGUAGGCUUCCUACCUCCUAAAUCAGUUUGUUUUUAGGAGGGGUGACUGAUAUUGAAAUUGGGUUUUUUUAUUUAAAUACGCAUGGAAAAAUGAUUUAUUCCCUAAAUGUGCAUGGUUUGAAAUUCUGCUCAAAAUACGCAUACCAAUUUCACCUGUAGCGACCACAAAAUGAAUUCUUACUCCAUUUCACAAGAAGCGCCCACGAAAUGGGCCUGCUGUGUGUCAGAGAGCAACUCAAGCCCGCCUUCCACGAAAUGAAACAUAUCACAGGGGGCAUCCACAAAAUGGAGGAGUGAGAUAUUAGAACUGAAUAUGAAUCAAAACAAACAGAUAAUAGACAUCAAACUUGGAAGAACAAUNNNNNNNNNNNNNNNNNNNNNNNNNNNNNNNNNNNNNNNNNNNNNNNNNNNNNNNNNNNNNNNNNNNNNNNNNNNNNNNNNNNNNNNNNNNNNNNNNNNNNNNNNNNNNNNNNNNNNNNNNNNNNNNNNNNNNNNNNNNNNNNNNNNNNNNNNNNNNNNNNNNNNNNNNNNNNNNNNNNNNNNNNNNNNNNNNNNNNNNNNNNNNNNNNNNNNNNNNNNNNNNNNNNNNNNNNNNNNNNNNNNNNNNNNNNNNNNNNNNNNNNNNNNNNNNNNNNNNNNNNNNNNNNNNNNNNNNNNNNNNNNNNNNNNNNNNNNNNNNNNNNNNNNNNNNAAAAAAUUUCAUACACAACAUAAAUACAAUGUAGUAAAAGAUAUAAAAAAAAAGUUAUAUUAACAAAAAAUAAUAAAAAUAUCAUAAAAAUUAAUAAAAUACUUGAAAAAUUAGAGCACUAUAAAAAAAAAGUCAACAACAUUUGUCAUAUAAAAAAAUGAAUUUGCAUCUUCAUAUUUCAAAAGUUGUAUUUGCAUAAAAUUAGAAUCCAAACAUUUUAUUUACAUAAAUUACUCUAUUAUUUUAUAGUAACAAACACUACAAAUUAAGAUGACUAUAAUUACAGAAAUUUUGAUAUUACUUAAAAAAUAUAAUUAAAAUUAAGAUGACUUUUUAUUACUGCUUUAACUGAUAAAUGGCUAAAAUACUAGCAAAUAUUUUUUUUCUCUUCUAUAUAUUGAAGUGCCUUCUAAAAAUAAUUAAACUCGCUUAUUAUAAGAACAUAGUAUAUAAAAGUAUUUCGUUGUUGGCUCAGCUAAUGUCCACCAAUUCGUUUGUGCCAGGGACGGCUUGGCCAUUUCGUGGAUGCCCCCUGUGAUAUGUUCCAUUUUGUGGAAGGUGGGCUUGAGUUGUUUUCUGACAUGUAGCAGGUCCAUUUCGUGGGUGCUUCUUGUGAAAUGGAGGUAGAAUCCAUUUCGUGGUCGGCAGAGAUGAAAUAGAUGUGCGUAUUUUGAGCACAAUUUCAAACCAUGCGUAUUUAGGGAAUAAAUCAUUUGUGGUUAAUGAUUAGAGAUGCUAGGAGACUGAUAUUUUUCGGGCAAAAAAUUUUAUAUUUUUAUAAAUGUUUUAAGAUGCUUUUNNNNNNNNNNNNNNNNNNNNNNNNNNNNNNNNNNNNNNNNNNNNNNNNNNNNNNNNNNNNNNNNNNNNNNNNNNNNNNNNNNNNNNNNNNNNNNNNNNNNNNNNNNNNNNNNNNNNNNNNNNNNNNNNNNNNNNNNNNNNNNNNNNNNNNNNNNNNNNNNNNNNNNNNNNNNNNNNNNNNNNNNNNNNNNNNNNNNNNNNNNNNNNNNNNNNNNNNNNNNNNNNNNNNNNNNNNNNNNNNNNNNNNNNNNNNNNNNNNNNNNNNNNNNNNNNNNNNNNNNNNNNNNNNNNNNNNNNNNNNNNNNNNNNNNNNNNNNNNNNNNNNNNNNNNNNNNNNNNNNNNNNNNNNNNNNNNNNNNNNNNNNNNNNNNNNNNNNNNNNNNNNNNNNNNNNNNNNNNNNNNNNNNNNNNNNNNNNNNNNNNNNNNNNNNNNNNNNNNNNNNNNNNNNNNNNNNNNNNNNNNNNNNNNNNNNNNNNNNNNNNNNNNNNNNNNNNNNNNNNNNNNNNNNNNNNNNNNNNNNNNNNNNNNNNNNNNNNNNNNNNNNNNNNNNNNNNNNNNNNNNNNNNNNNNNNNNNNNNNNNNNNNNNNNNNNNNNNNNNNNNNNNNNNNNNNNNNNNNNNNNNNNNNNNNNNNNNNNNNNNNNNNNNNNUAAUUUAAAUGGCAUAAUUUUUUUUUCUCGUCUAAAAAUCUUGGGUUCAAUUUCACUCCUAAUUUCAGAGGGAAAAAAACACAUUUAUUGAUGUAUCACAUAUGAAGAAUUAGAUAGAUAGGGUAGUAUUAUAGAUUCCCAAAGGAAAAGUAUAUGAACCAACUCCUAAUCAGCCAAGAAUGGAACAACUUAAUUAAUUAUAAUUAUAUUAAUAAUUAAUUUUAAAUUUUUUAAAUUCAAAAUUUAAAAAAUUUAAAACUGAUUAAGUAAACCUAAUUAAAACCUAUAAAAAC